CAACAUUGAUGAUAUAAGCAUCUGGGGUGGGCUUAACUCGAACCCAUUCUCCAUCGGUUUUUCGAUUUACUUCCAACCCUCCAACAUCAUCCUGAGCAAGGAAAGUUAAGGCUCCGGAAUCCUUGUGGCGACCAACGCCCAGAGCUAGGUGAGGAAUGGAGCAAGGUGGGUAGUGAUUGAGGCGGAUGAAGUUUGUUGAUUCUUCAUUCAGGGAUUAUUUCAUCCCUUUUAACCAAAUAUUUAACAUGAUCAAAGACUAUUCCCUAAAUGAAGGCAUACUGUAGCAAAUACCCUUAAUCUGAACAUUGAAAGUACAACUUAAACUAGUAUCAAACACUCUGUUUUUAAACCCAUAGCUACUCCAAAUAUCCCAAAUACUCUUUUCUAUGUAACCUCUCUUUGUCUCUUUCUCGCUCACACACACAUGCUUCCCCACAAAAAUACAUACACACAUAGAGAAGAACACAAUCUCUUAUCCGAUUCCCUUCCGAUUUAUGAUUCUAAGCUGGCGGGUCACUCUCUUAUUCUUUUGCUUUCUUGCGAUGGAGCUCCAUGCUCUCCUUUCCUCAUUUUUUUUCUUGGAUAAAUACUCUAUAAAACAUCCUCUCUCGAUGCUCUAUCUAAACUCACUUGCUCAUUUCACAUUUUUUUCUUUUUGGAUGCUUUCUUUAUGCUCCCAGGCAUAUGCCAGUUUUUUAUGACUAUUUUUGAAGUUGGGAUUCAGAAUUCACUAAAAUCUUUUCUCAAACUUGGAUUUUUCUCAACUCAACCCUAACUUCUUUUCUAUCAGUACCAAGGCUAGAGAAUAUAGUUUAUACCCUUGUAUUUCGUUAUGUACCAAGCCCACAAGAUGAUCAAUAAGUUUCUCUCUAGAUUUUACAUUGGAGUUGAUUGAUGACAUACCCUUAUUAGGUACUAUAUUCUCUUCCUUAGGUAUUGCUUUUUCCUUCCUUAGAUACUACCUUUGCAACCUUGGGUGCACGAUCGAAUCCAUCGUUUCAUGGCCACUUCAAGUAAGUCAGGAACUUAUGUACAUGUGUGCUACAUGUCUUAUAGGUAUUACCUUUACAUUCUGUAGGUACUACCUUUACCUUCCAUAGGUACAAAUAUGAUUAAUAAUAAGAAUUUUAACAUAAAAAAGGGAAAAAUCAUGUCUGAUAAUAAAAUUGCAUAUAUUUUCUUUCUUGCUUUUUUUUUUUUUUUUGGGUCUUUGCUUUGGUUUUUAUUUAUGUGUUUGUUUCUUUUAGUCUUUGUGUGUGUGUGUGUUUUAUUUUAUUUUAUUUUUUUCAUCCCUAUGCAGAAGAUGUAGAGGAAGCAACAUCACAUCAUAAGGUGCAUUUUUCUGUUCAUUUAAGCCUAAAGGUUCUGGAUUCACAAAAUGGUGGGAACUAAGGGUGAGAAACUGGAAAAAAAAAUGUUGGAUUGAGCUACAUUUGAUCAAUAGUGAAUUUGCAAAAAAGAUUGUAGGAGAGGUUUCUUGAGGUGGACAAGGUCAGAAGCAAGGAGCCUUUUCCUAGUUUUUGGGAAGAACUUAUUGUUAACGUGUGAAUUCAUUAAGGGUAAUUUAUGUAAGAUUUUCUAGAUUUUGCAAGUGAAUGCACCUUAGCUUUUCCUAUUGUAUUUGUGUUUUUUUAGGUUGAUUAUUUUAUUGAUCGUCACCACUCAAGGAAUGGAAGCAAUAGGGUCUCUAGAUGUACUGCGUAAAGGCGGGCAUACAGGCGUUGUUAGGAAUGUGUUUCCCAUGUCCAACAAGCAUAUUGACACCACCUAAAGCCAAGGCAUCUUUGGACGAGGAGUUCUAGCUUCUACUUCUGUGGACUUUGUAGAUGUCGUCUGGCUCUUCUAAAUAUUUAUUGUUAUGUAGUAGUUAUACACAUGUACUUUGUUUAAGUGAAUUGAUUAUUGGAUUUUUAGUUAAAUCAAAUUUAAGGGUAUGUUGUUUAAUUUACUAGUGAUCUCUUGUUUGUAAUUCUCGUUAUCAUAUAUAAAUCUUUGUUAGCAUUUUCCAAUUUCCUCAAUAGCAACUAUAUUAGUUUUCAGUGGAAUGAAUCUUGAGUAACUUGUAGUAUCAUUUUUGGUUUUGAAUUGACUAAUCUGUUUUGGAAGGAUGAAUUAGAUAUAUGAGCUUGAUUGCUAACAGUAGUUGAGUUUGUUUUGAUCUCGGGAUAUUUGCCUUGUUGAAUAGGACGUAGAUUUUGGGUCCAAAGAGUUGAAAAUUGAUGAGCUUAACCAAGACAUAGGAGAACCACAUGCAACACUAACCAGAGUUCCUACAACAAGCUAAUAACCAUGAUUUAGAAAUGUGAUUUCGUUAAAGGGAAGCAUUUCUAAUCUUAUUUGAAAGGAAACUUUGAUGUCUUCCCUAAUACACUAGAAUAUUAAUUUAAAAACAACAAUUAAGGUUAUAUUAACUAUUAUAAUAAUUUAUAAAUUAUAUAAAUAUGAUAAUAACUAUUAAAAUGAAAGUAUUAAAUGUAAAAAAGUUUAAUCUUGUUGGGUAAAAACUUCAUCAAUCUUUUAUUAUUGAACUUCUAUUAUAUAAUCAAACAUAGUGAUGAUCCUCGGUUGGAUUAAUCAACACUUGUUUCAUAAAUUGAACAACAUAUAACAUGAUCAACCAUAAACAAACAAGUAAACAUCAUACUAGAUAAAACUAUCUCUUAAGAUUUCUAUUAUUACAUGUUUAAAUUACAAAUCAUAUUUUUGCAACUUUCGUAAAAUUAUGCAAUAGAUAUGAUUAAAAUUACGAAACAUCGGAAAUGUAUAUUGAUUCAUUAUUCAGAUUCAUCAUAUCAUAUAUAUCCUUUAGUAGUCCAUAAGAUCAAAUAAUAACCAAAAUUCAAAAAAUAUGUUUUAUGAUCCAAAAUUGAUUGACACUAAUAUCAUUUGUUAAAUAAACUUUAUGUGAAAUAAUUAUUUUGGAAAAUCAAUUUGGAUGCAUAAUGCAUAAUAGGUAUAAGAAAUAAAGAAAUGACAAAAUAAUAAUUAUAUUCUUGUCUUAAUCCAUGAUACUGAUAACACUUGUAAUGUGAAUUUGAGUCAUUUUGUGAAUUGUUGGGUCAAGGUCUUCAACUCACCAUUCUCAUUUAGUAGAUGAGUCAAUUGUGUGGUAUAUGUUGUUAUAAGUAAAACAACUAAAAACAUAAGAAUGCAAUGUGACUUAGGACCUUAACUUUAUAAAAAAGAUUUAUAACUCUUAAUAUUCUCAUAAAAGAUUAUAUGAAAGUUAUACUCAUUAUUUAUAAACAUUAUACACAGAUUAAUGGACAAUGGUAAACUACCAACUUGAAUACAUUCAUGUAAUUGUAUAAAUUACACUUUUUCAUCUUCCUCUAUUAGUCAUAAACUUUAUGUACAAAUGAAAUCUCAUAAAGAUGGAGUUACACAAGUUGUAAUACCAUAUUCUUAUAAAUGAAAUUUUUCUAACUCUGUAUUUAUAAUUUUAAUCUUCUAUGUUAGAAGUUGAAUUUGUUCCACGUCGCCAAGUUAUUGGGUUAUUAUGUUGUUCAUAUAUGUAGAUUGGUCACCUCUCCAAGCUAGCUUUUGGGAAUGAAUUCUAUUCAAACCCAUUUAACAUGGUAUCAGAGCUUGGUUUGACUGUGGGUUGUGGGUUCGAGCCACCUCUCUGCAAUUCGCAUGUUUGUUCCUUAUUUGCAUGUUUGGAAGUCUAGAAAAGGUUAUUUGCAUUUGUUUGUCUCUUCACGUGUGGAUAUGGGACCACACAUAAGAGAGGGUGUUAAAAAGCUUGAUAUGUACGUAUAUUGAACCUAAAUCUUAUAAGUUUAAGCUUUUAGGAAAAUUAGUAAUUCAACAUUCUAUACAUAAAAUUAUUUGAUGUCCAAUCAAUUGAUUCACCUACCUAUCAAUUAAUAUACUUUUAAAUAAAAUAUAUUUCAAUCCAUUACACAAAUAUAAUUAAAACAAAAUACUAUAGUAAUGUGAGUAUGUGAUAAAUAAAUAAAAUAAAAAUAAUCACGUGUUACAUGUAAACUAUAUUCAAAGGAAAAACCCACUAUUAAACAAUCCAUUGUAUAAUGAUCAAUUACAAAGACCAAGUAUUACCAAACUUAAAAGUAUCUAAAUCAUACUCACUUUGCACAUUUUCUUUAUACUUGGAUCCUUUAAACACAUUUAUCCCAAUGUGGAUGCAUCUUGAGUUCUAAUCAAGGAAAUCAACCUUUGAGUAAAAUUUUCAUCAAGUUAAAGUCUCUUUAUAUCAUUGAGAACCAUAUCAAGAUUUCUUUUUGUUGGUUGCUUUCAAAGUCCCACUAGAAUUAGAAUGAACAUUUUAUAAAUUCUAGGACUUUAACAUAUGAAUUCUUCAAUGAGUCAAUCAAAUAUUAAAUUUUAUCUCCAUAGAUGGACCUCAAUGAAUUUUUCAACAAAUUAAAGGUGUUAACACUAAUUUCAUAUUAGAAAAAAAAAAAAAAUCAUGUGACACAUAUUGAUAUAUAUAUAUAUAUAUAUAUAUAUAUAUAUAUAGGUGUUGUCUGGGAUAAAUAGAUUGAAUUCAUGAGAAAAUUAUUCUUAAUUUUGUAAAAAUUAUAUAUAUAAGAAAGUUUUUAGACUUACUAAAACACAUUACUAAUCAAGUGGUAAUAUUUAUAUCUCAUUAUUUUGUAAUCAAGUCUCAUUCAUUUGUAUCACAUAUGAGUCCUAUUAUUUUAUACCUUACUCUUAUUAUAUUGUACUUUGAUCUUAUUUGUUUAUACAUCGAUUUCAUUUCUUUAUAUGUUCAUCAUAUUUAUUUAUAUCUCGAUCUUAAUUAUUUAUAUCUUUCAAUAGUUUAGAUUUCAAUACAUAUUUUUAAAUAUUUUAAUUGGAAAUUCAAUAUCUUACUAUUUUUCUAAAUAGCUACCUAUAAUCCUUUGUAGACUCAAAAUUCACUUCAAGCCAUCAAAAAAAUCGACCUCUCUUUGUAAGUUGCUAUACUCAUUGCUAAACUAUAAUUCCAAAAAUAGCAGAACUUUUCAUACUUAUUCUAGGCAAUUAGAGUCGAGAUGUUCCAGGCAUAUACCAUUGUCUUUCAAGAUUUGAAAGAAAUGUUACGAUUUCAGCAUGAAAUAAUGCAUGUCGAUUAACAAUAUUGCUCAGAUUCUUUAGGCAAAGGUCCCAGCCUAGAGAUUGAUAAUGUUUCUUUGAAGCAAAAUGACAAAAUGGAAUAACACAAGAAAGCCAGAACCAAUUAAGUGUCCACAGACAAAAAAAUUUAUUUAUUUAUUUUCUGAACCACCCCUGAAAUUGACACCUCCCAUACAGUCUGCAUUUCUGUGGCACUAUUUCCCUUAUUCCUAACCAUAAAUCUGCUGCCAUCUCAAUAAUUCACAUCCUUAUCCACUCCUUAUCUAGGGUUGUAACACUUUUUUCAAAAAGAUUUUUUUUUUUUUUUUUCUAAGGGGUGGAUAAGGGUCCUGAGACAAGCUGUGGAAUAAUUAUAAACCCACUUGGGUAAUGGUUUCAUUGUCAGGGUAAUACUAUUUAAGGUGAAAAUCAGCUGGGUCUAUCAUUCUUGUUUCCAUAUGACUGUUUCCAAGGAUAACUCAACCUUCAAAUCCAUCGAGCAGUCAUAUAAAAAUACACGCAGAUUUCAUAUUUUGAAGCUUGUCCUGUGUUCAGAUCGGAUAACUCACUCAUAUGCCUAAUCACCAAUCGCCAACUUGAGCGUAAAAAAAGCGUGGGGCGAUAUUAUUUGUAUAUGGGUUUGACUGUUUGAGAGAGAAAGGUGGGGUGUCCCUUGGAGGAGUCCAAAGGCCAUUUUUGAACCUGCCUUUGAUUAUCGCCAUGGCAAAUCAACAGCUUGUAGUGUAUAUAUAUAUAUAUAUAUAUAUUAAUGGAGACCAAGACUCAAAUAGAGAGAGAGACGCGGGAUGCGAUAAAGAGAACAGUAUAGCCAAGAGUAUAUAAGCAUUUCUAUUGCUGUAAUGGUGAUUCAGAGACUGGAAAUGUGUAUAUCACUGCUGAAAAUGGCAGUAGAGUUUGUGCUUGUUUUCGCGGAGGCAGUCGGGCUAGUCAUCAACCACAAUGCCACGCCGCUUUUGGCAAACUCAGCCUCAGUUGGCAAUGAUGUUUCUGUCCCUUUUAUCGGUUUUCUUCUUUGAAUUCUUCGUCUUGUAGUUUCCUUCCUUAGCAGAAUGCCCAUUGGCCAUUGUAUACGUUGAGGUUUCAUUUUUGUCUUGAUAGAUUUUGCCUUGGAAAGUGUCUGUACUACCAGCUAAAAGAUGUGAAUGUUUGAUAGGAGAGAGUACAUAUAACAUCUUUGUAAACUUCGAUUAAUUUUGGUUCUGGGUGAGCUUCAUCUUCUGCAAAUUCAUUUGCUGGUAGCUUUGGAAAUGAAUCUUCAGUGGUUUGGGUGGUGAUUAUUUGCUUGCUUCACACGAUUUUAUGUGUUGUUCCUUUGGUAAUAAUCUUGUUGGAUGGAUCAAGGAGGAGCGAUGAUCAGGAAAAUAAAGUCGGGAGAAAGAAAAGAUAUAAUGAUGAUUAAGAAAGGCUUUAAUAUACUUGCAAGAUCAGGAAAAAAUAUUUCUUGGUUAAUCAAUUAUUUUCUUGCUUGAUAUGGGUUUGAUACUUUUUGUCAAUUGGUGAUCAUUCUGGGAAGAUCAGGAAGAAGAAAAUGGGGUCUAGAUGAAGAAAAGCUAUAAUGGUGAUUAUUAAUUGAAAUCAGAUGAAAUAAAAGUCUGUUUCCAUCAUUCUUAAUAGGGUUUCAUAGUCCCCGCAGGACUUUAGUACUCAUCAAACUCAUAAAUUUUGAACAACUUUGAGCUAACCUUCUGCAUUAAUUUGGUGCAUCUGCGCAGUUGCAGAGUAUGAACACCCACAAAAUCUUAAUAUGAAUCUUUUGGGGCAAUAGCUUCUAUAUAUGAUGGAUGAUAAGAACAAAGCAAAUCUUGGGUUCUCCAUGGCCACGAUCAUUUAUCCGCCAUAUAAAAUGCAGAUUUUCCUAACACCAACCCCUUAUUUUAAUAAAGUCAAGUUAUUUUAAGGCCCCCAUUAUUAGACAUGCCCUAGAAGCAUUGGGUCUGUGAUUAAAAAAAUGUAGUAAUAUCAUUUAAAAUAUCUAACACUGAAAUUUUGAUAAUUUUGAAUGUCAUAGUGUGGAUUUGAAGAAAGAAAUCGUAUCCAAGAUCUCUUCCUUUUCCUGGGAAACAUUAGUCUUGGUCAAUUAUGAACUGUUACACGUUACCUAUCAUGAUCAUAUUUAUAUUAGCUUUGAUUUCUAUGGGGGUUAUAAUUUAUUUGUAUGCUAAUCAUAGAGGUGAUACAUGUGAUCCACAUGUCAUAUUUGGACUUGGAACCAAUCAUUGGAUUCCUUUGAUGAACUGGCAAUGGAAGAAUACUAAUUGCUCCGGUCCCUUUCUUUUUUCAACGUAGGAUGAUCAGGUCCUUUGAUCUCUUCCACACCCACUGGCUGUUUUUCUUUGUUCCUUUUUCAAUCAUCCAUAGCUGAAAAGCCUUGAUGCCCUCCUUGACUUUCCCAAGAUAAAACACCUUAUCUUCACUUUCUUUCUUUUCCCUUUAAAUUUGAUUUUAGAUCUGAAAUCCAGGGCUUAUGACCCUGUAGAAGAAAGACAGAUAUGAAGCUUGGGAUGAUUUGAACUUCAGUUUGAUUUUCUGCACACUGUUUAAAACUCCUGAAAUAUAGUUGUAUAUUGCAAUACAUUUAUAAUUGAUACAACUGAACCAUGAUGUUUCUAUUAGUAAAAAUUUCUUUGAAUCAAUCCACAGUUCAAAGUACCAAUUUCAAUUGAAACUUUUUUCUUUUCCUGCUUAUUCAAUUGUUUCGUUUUCCACAUAAUGGUAUGACAACAUCAAGAAUACUUCUCAGCAAUUGCCUGCAGGUGAACCCAAAGCUCUUUUGGCUGAGACAUCAUGACCAUGUGAUCAGAUCCUUUAAUCUCUUUAACAGCAUCAGGUGGGUUUUCUUCGAUCAUCCAGAGUUGAAAAUCCUUUUUCGCCAGCUUGUCUUCCUCAGAAAUAAUAAAGACACGUUUAACCGAGGCAUAUUUCUUCGACAACAUGAGAUCCUUUGACAUGUCUUCUUCACUGAACAAGCGUAAGGGUCUCAUCAACAUAGUCCCUAGUGCCAAGUCCUGGAAAAUUUGUGCCCAAAAUGAUAUAACAACAACAAUGAAAAGUCUCAUGAUUUUGGCUGUAAGGCCUGAAUUAAUGAAGUUCUCACCUCAGUUGGGCUCAACUGAUACACAUUCAGUGAUGAGAACAAGGGGCCAAAGGUGAAAGUGGUGGGAGGAUUGUUGGGGCCAUUAUCAUAUGUGAACUGGCUGUCUAGUAGAGGACCUUGUCUCCUGAGUGACUUCAAUAAGAAGUAGAAACCAGGCUAAAAGUCAGAAACAGGGGAAGCCUUCCCCUCUUAAUCAACAAGUAAAUUUCUGUAAAAGAAAAAUAGUAUGUAUGAAGUACCUCUUGAUUGAGAGUGGAAAUGUUGAGAGUGGGACCAGGCAUUGAGGCAGUAACAAAAACAGCUACAGAAACCUUUUCUGGGAACUUCUCCAUGGCCUGAGAAAUGGCCAACCCACCCAAGCUGUGUCCAACGAGAACCACCCUUUCAUCUGCAGGGAGUGACUCCAUGAAGUCCCUCAGUGGCUGGAAAUACUCAGAAAUAGAUCGCAGAUCACCCACUUGUUUUGGGUUAAUUCCAGAAGCAGCCAAGUCCAGAGCAGUGACUUUGUGGCCAGAUGAUUUUAGUAGUGCCACAAUCUUGUACCAAGACCAGGCACCAUGGCAAGACCCAUGAACUAGAACAUAGUGCUUGACGGGAUUAGCCUGUCUCCCCUCUGAUGCCAUUGAAUACACUGAAGAAACAAGAAAAAUCAGAAAGGAAACUAAAAUCGUAUGCUUCUUCCUUUCCUGCGUACUCCUUUCCUGUUACAGAGAUGGUCAGCACCCAAGCAUUUUAAAGGGCACAAUUGGCUUUCACUACAACUACUAAUCUAAUGGAUUAAAAUUUUUCCUGUGAAAUUGACUCUAGAAAUAAAAUAAGGAUUAAGGAUUCAAGAAUAUGUACACAUAGACUGCCAGGGUUUAAAAGAUGACACAUGCACCUGCGUCACACUCUUUUUCAAUGAUAAAGAAGUUAUGCAAAGGAAGAAAGAAUGAAAUAUACAGAGUCUAGUAGUUAACUCCUCCCCUUGAAUUCUUCUGUUGCCCGGAUUGGUUUGUAACUGCAAACAUUUUCUUUUCCCAAUGUGAUCUGUGGAUUGAGUUCUGAUCUCAAUUUGUUUUUGGCAUUUUUGGUUUUGCUUCUGCAAAUCUUGAGAUGUAUCUUUCAAUUAAUAUAAGUAAGUUAUGCAGUAAAGGUUUUUGGACAUAUAAAAUGUUAGCCAAACCUUUCCCAUGGCGGGUUGAAGGUACUUUGGGGUAGGCUUGGUCACGCUUGAUACCUCAAUCGGACUGAAACAUGAUGUUUUCACCCAUUUGAAUUGGUCAAAGCUGUGUUGACUGGCAUGAUUCCUUUAAUAAAGAAGUUGUUUUUGGAUUAAGGCCUACAACACCAAUUUCACUUAAAUACAUCUAUUUAAUAAUUAUGUAUUAACAUAAUUAUAAUCAAUUGAGUCGAAAACAAUUAAAUUAAAAAGUUAAUUAUAUUGACUUAAAUAAAAUCUGACUCAACCAGAUUAUUAAAUAAAUUACUCAACUUAUUACAUGUUUAAUAAUUAAGUCGUAUUUGGGUUUAUACUUUUAACUCAAUUAUUAUUCAUGUUAUAUUUGUGUUGACUUAUUAAGUCACAGUAUCUAAAUUUAAUUUGAUAUGACAUGAACACUACCCACCAACAUUAAUUGUAUCCCCUGUUUUAAGUUCCGGUGGCAUCAUGAGUUUGGCCUCUGUUUUGAGUGUUGAAUUAACCUUUCCCAUGGUUGUCAAGUUCUUCAUAAAUUAUUGGUGAUUGUAAUAAUUUCCUCAUAAAUUAAUGGCGCUAUAUGCUUCUUUAGGAUCCAUUGAUCUUACUAAUUCUCUUCCUGGUAUGGGAAGAAAAUGACUCUUCCAUUAAUGCAGCAUGCAUUGCUACUUAUUUAUCAAGCAAAUUACAUUAUUAUUUUCACACCAAACCUCCAAAUUCAUCAUGUACUUAUCCUAUAUACUACAUGGUGAACUUUAGAGAGCUAAAACAAGCUCUUCUUGAUUAAAGAUAGAUAAUGUCCUAUUGACCUUUUUACUUUGAUGCCUUGAAAUGAGAAAUUUGGAUGUUUUCUACAUCAAGCUUCUUGAAAUUAUUGUGCUUUCUCGUAGUAAAGAAUUUUCCCAAGUUGUGUACUUUGGCUUUUCCCCCUUUGUCAUCUCCUCCAAGGGUUGCACCCAAACACGGUGUUCGGGAUUGAAAAAGAACGGAAUCAAAAACCUUUCCCUCUCUGAAUUCACCAUCACCCUAUGCUCCACACUCUCAUAAGUAUCGUUGCUCCAUACCUGAUUUAAUAUCAAGAUAAUUAGACAAAUGGGUGUGUAAAAUUCCUUGAGCCAAACUGUACUGAUAAGCAAGUACUAAAGACGAUACAGGCUUUGAGAGUUAAAGGUCGUUCUUUCUAUAAAUCAAGGCAAUAAGUAUAUAUACAACAUACAACAUAGUUGCUGUUACAGGCUUACCAAAUUAAUUCCACAAUAAAGGAAACUAUACAUGGUUGGUUACCAAAACAAAAAUAGGAGAUUAGCUAUACAUAUUACUAAAAUAUAGGAUUUGAUAAAGAUUGAAGUGGACUUUCAAAUGAACCAUUUUCCUUAUCAUGACCCCUCAAGAUAGACUUCGAUUGAAUGCCUAGCUUGACGCACAAGUGUUGUAGAUGAGCUAAGGAUUGUGGCUUUGUUAAGGCAUCAACAAGUUGAUCCGCGAAAGCAAAAUGAGGCACGCGAAAAGUGUAAUCUUGAACUCACAAAAUGAAAAUAAAUAGCAAUAUGCUUCAUCCAAAAUGUAAAAUUAGGUUGGCGCAUAAGUAGGUGGUACCGACAUUAUCACAAUAGAUUGGCAUGGGUUUGGGAACUGAAAUACCCAACUCAAGUAAUAGGGAGUUAAGCCAAAGAAGUUUGGAAGAAGUUGUAGCUACAACAUGAUACUCUACCUCAGUUGAGGAACGGGCAACAAAUGUUGCUUCUUUGAACUCCAAGAAAUGACAUUAUGACCUAAAAACACAACAUGAGCACUAGUUAAAGUACGAUCAUCACGAUCACCAAUCCAAUCUACAUCGGAGAAGGCAUGAAGGCUAAGAGGGGAUCCUUUUCGAAGAAACAAACAAUGAUGCGUUGUACCUUUAAGAUAACGGAGAAGAUGUUUGAGUGCCAACCAGUGAGUGGUAGUAAGUCUAUGCAUGAAUUGAGAGAGUUUAUUGAUUGAGAAAGCAAUGUUUGGUUGAGUGAAGAAGAGGUACCGAAGACCACCAACAAUAGAUCGAUACUUAGUCGAAUUGGUCAAGGAUGUGCCAUCCACAAGGCUAGGUAUCUGAGAUGUUGACAUAGGAGUUGUGAAUGACUUGGAAUCCAUCAUUUUUGUGUGCUCCAAAAGAUCUAAAACAUAUUUGUGUUGAGAAAGAAAGAGACCAAAUGAGCUUGGAAUAACUUCAACCCCUAAAAAAUAAGAGGCAACACCUAAAUCUUUAAUGGAGAACCGAGUAGCAAGUGUGUGAACAAAAUGAUUGAGAGUACCAUCAUCAUUGCUAGUAACAAUAAUAUCAUCAACAUACACAAGUAGGAAAAUGGUAAAUAGAGACUUCUUAUGGAUGGACAAUGAAGUGUCAAAUUUGGGGUAGAAACUGCUUCACAAACCCUUGAUGGAGUAGAAACUGCUUCAGUUCUUGAUACAAGGCACAUGGUGCUUGUUUGAGGCUAUAAAUAGCUUUCUUAAGAUGACACACAUGGCUUGGAAACUAAGGAUCAACAAACCUUGGUGGUUGAGCCAUAAACACAUUUUUGGCAAAAGUCCCAUGAAGAAAAAGCAUUGUUCACAUCAAGUUGACAAAGUGACCAAUUGAAGGAAAAUGCAAGACUAAGAAUGAGUAGACCAGUAGUAGGUUUCACAACCGGGCUGAAUGUCUUAGCAUAGUCAAUACCAGGGAGUUGAUGAAAACCCUUGGCGACAAGAGGAGCCUUGUAUUGAGCAAUAGAGCCAUCAGGAUUGCGUUUGAUUCGGAAAAUCCAUUUGCAACCAACUAGAUUCUGUGACUUAGUAGAAGGAUUCAACUCCCAUGUGCCAUUAUGAAGAAGAGCAUCAAAUUCUUCAAACAUAGCUUAACACCACUCAAGAAGCUUUAAAGUUUGGGUAACAUAGGCAGGUGCAACAUCAGGAGUGGUAGAGACAAAAGCAUACUUGGUGGAUGGUUUGAAGACAUUAUUCUUGGAUCUUGUAACCAUGGGAUGGGUGUUGAGGGUAGGGGGUCGAGUGGGUGGGAUGGGGGAAGGGGUAGGAUGUGGGGUUGAAAGCAAGAUUGGGCUUGGAGGGAAACUAUGUUGGGAUUGUGUAGUCUCAGCAUUGGGGGGUAAUAUAAUUGACUGGCCAGCAAGAGUGGUAUCAUGAAUGGUCGAAUGCUUAACUGGAGUGGUACCUAAGAUUGUAUUGUCCUGUGAUGAGGGAAUUGAUACGAGAGGGAAUGGAAUAGAUGGGACUAUGGUGGGUGGAGGUUUCUCGGCAGUUGAAGAAAAGAGGACCAUUAUCUCAACAAAGGUGACAUGAUGAGAGGUGAAUAACUUGUGGGAAACUCGAUCAAGGCAAAGGUAUGCACUUUGUGUAAGAGAGUAACCUAAGAAGACACAUGGACGAGAUUUGGAUUGAAGUUUGUGGUCAUUAUAUGGGAGUAACUAAGGAUAACAAAGACAACCAAACAUUCAUAAUUUGUCAAGAAUUAGGUUUGUGAUUGAAUAAUUUCUCAUAGGAAGAGAGGAAUGAGAGGUUUGGUUUAAGCAUUCGAUUAAUAAGAUAGACUAUAGCUUAAAAGGCAAAGGGCCAAAAAGAAGUAGGAAUGGAUGCAUGAUGGAAAAGGAUGAGUCUGGUUUUGACAAUGUGUCUAUGAUGACGUUUGGAGUAACCAUUAUGCUUAGGAGUAUGAGGUGGGGUGGUGAGAUGAGUAAUGCUAGCAAGAGCAAAAUAAUCUUUUAACGCUAGAAAUUCACCACUAUUGUCAUAAUAGAUUUGAAUUAUUUUGGAACUGAAGUAGUUUUCAACUAGAGCUUUAAAUCGAACAAAAACAUCAUAGACAUUAGAUUUCUUUUGAAGUGGAUAUAACCAGACAUAUUUGGUGAAGUGAUCGACAAAGAUAACAUAGUAUUUAAAGUUAUCAUUUGAUACAAUGGGAGAACUCCAAACAUUUGAGUAAAUAGUUUGUAAAUGAGAUGAACUUGUAAUAGAUGAUGUAGAGAAAGGUAGUUUAUGACUUUUAUUGCACUUACAAGAAUUACAAGCAAAAGUAGAAAUAUCAUUAGAUGAUAAAGAAUGACUCUUAGAGGAAACUAAAUAUUGAAGAACUUUGGAAGAGGGAUGACCAAGUCGAUGAUGCCAAUUUGGAAGUGAAGUCUUAACAUUGGAAAAUACAAUCAAAGGUUUUUUCGUAGUAGGAGAAUUCAACCAUACAUAAAAACCACCACUAUAGAAUAUAGAAUAUAAUUUUAUAUUUAAUUAAUUUUGCAUUUAAAUAAUAUAUGAUAAAGAUAUUACUUUUAUAUUUAAAUAAUAUAAGAUGGUAAUGAGAUAAAAAUGAAUGUUUUUAUGGUUAUAGGAAUAAAGAAAAAUAAAAUAAAAAAGAUUUCAAUUACUUAAUUAAUAGUAAUCCUAAUUUAAUUUCAAUUAAUAUUAAUCUUAUUUAUAUCUUUCCUUUCUUGAAUAUACCAUAAAAAGAUUUAAGUAGUAAAUAAAUACAUGGGUAGAAGGAUACAUCCAGUCAUGAGGUGUACCUAUAUAUUAAUUUUAUAUUUAAAUAUUAUAGAAUAUAAUUUUAUAUUUAAUUAAUUUUGCAUUUAAAUAAUAUAUGAUAAAGAUAUUAGUUUUAUAUUUAAAUAAUAUAAGAUGGUAAUAAGAUAAAAAUGAAUGUUUUAUGGUUAUAGGAAUAAAGAAAAAUAAAAUAAAAAAGAUUUCAAUUACUAAAUCAAUAGUAAUCCUAAUUUAAUUCCAAUUAAUAUUAAUAUUAUUUAUAUCUUUCCUUUCUUGAAUAUACCAUAAAAAGAUUUAAGUAGUAAUCUGGGAUAGAUAUUAAUUUUAUAUUUAAGAAAUAUAGGAUAUAAUGUAGAGAAUAGAGAUACACAAACAUAUUUUAUAUUUAAGUAGUAAUCUUCAUGAGCUUUACACAAACAAAAAACUUAGAUGUUUACAUCAUCUAGAAGCCCCACUUCGCCUCUCUCUCAGCCCUCAGCCCUCAGGCUUAAGAAGUUGUCAUGAGAAACCUAACACAAACCUUUCUUAUAAUUAUUGUUCAUAGUCGUAGCUACCAAGAAUUCCAAGUUAGGAAGAAAAAAAGAAUCAUAAAUACAGCAAAAAUAACUUCCACUACAUGCGGCAGCAGGGGUACCAAAUUAGGGAAAUUAAGAAGUAAACCAUGCCCAAUCAAUUGCUGGGAAAUAUUAUUUGGAUAUCAAAUUAGGGAAGCUAUUAAGUGUGGUUUUUGUAGUGUUAAAUCAGAGAGAAAUUUAAUUAUAUUAUGAAUUUCAAAUUUAAUUAUUCUAAGAACAAUGAAUUACUCUAAUAGAAUUUAAUGUAUAAAAACAUUUCAAACACUCGCAACAUAUAUCAUUUUCAUUUUUUCCAAAAGCACCAAAACCCUAUAACAAUGAAAAUAAACCCAAUAACAAUGGAAAUAAACCAAAUAACAAUGGAAUCUCAAACCUAAUCACAAACAUUUCCAAAAUACCAACUAACAAAACCCAAAAAAAAAAAAAAAUUCCCAAAACUCACCAAAACCUAGAGAGAUGAUUUUCACGGGAGUUUCUUGGAGGUGGCUUCAGCUUUACCGACCAUAGCUUCCAUGGGGCUUCUUCAGCAUGGCUUCCAUAAGCUUUUUUUGACAAUAGCUUCCUCCAAGCAAUGGGGGUUGUGGGUAGGUUUUGUGGGUUUUAUGGCCGUGGGUUUUGGAGAGGAAGAGAAAAUGGGUUGGCAGGAGAGAGAAAGAAAGGCUUUAUAUUCGAUUAGGAAAGUGAUGUGGCCGUGGGGUAUACCCACAUGGUUAAAAGAAAGACAUUUUUCCAUUAGAAAAAAAUGUCUCAUGGCUUUUUUUAUUGUUAUUGUUAUACCCAAAAAAAAUAAUUUAAUUUUAUUGUUAUACCCUAAAAUUUUUUUAUUGUUAUUGUUAUUGUUCUGUGUUCAGAACUAUUAAUUUAAAAAGUUUUUCAAGUUUUAAAAUUAUCAAAUUUUUAAAAUUUACAAUUAUUUUAAAAUUUUAAAUUUACAAUUAUUUUUAAAAUUUUAAAUUUAAAUUAAUUUUGAAAGUUCAAUGUUUUACUCAAAGUGUUAUUCUAAAAUUUUUAUUAAGUUUUAUCAAGUUUUUUAAGUUUUAAAAUUAUCAAGUUUAAAAUUUAAAAAUUUUAUAUAAAUACAAAGAAUAAUUAAAAAUAAAAUAUAACAUAUAAAUGUUAUUUUUUAAAACAUAUUUAAAAACAUAAAAAAUAUAUAUUAAGAAUAUUUUAGGUUUCUAAAUCAACUUUUAUUUUAAAAUACAUCGGCAAAAAAAUUUUUAAAAAUGUUUUAAAAAACCGUUUUUUGUAUAAUUGUUUAUGAAAAUGUCAAAAUACUUCACAAAUAAACCAGUUCGAGUCCCCUCAGGGCCUCGUGGGAUUAGUCGAGAUGUGCUUAAGCUGGUCCGGACAUCCACGGUUAUAAAUAAAAAAUAAAAAUAAAAAAAUAAAAAAUACUUCACAAAUAAAACUAUAAUUUAUUGGUAUUUUUGUGGGCCUUAGGUGUUAGGAAAUGUUAUAUGUGCAUCCUACUCCUACUCUGUCUUCAUUAUUUUCAGUCCCUUUAUAUCUUAUACCAAUCUACUAUUAUUUUAUCAUAUGGUAUCAGUUUUUCAUAUUUGAUGAUAUUAAUUUCUACCUUAUCCCAUAUGCUUGUAGCUUAAUUUCAUUAUACAUUUGGACAACAGAAUUUCAGACUUCCAUUUGGUACUAAAUAUAAUAAACAUAAACAGAGAAUGAUGCAUUUAAGAAUAUUUUUCCAUGAAUUUUAACUUUAUAAAUUUGUUAAUUUUACAAAUUUAAGAAUUAUAAAAGUUUAGAACUUUUAUUUUUAAUCAUAAACAGAGGAUGUUAUUUUUGUAGUUAUAAAUUGUUUUUGUAUUGCAAAAAUCAUAAAGAUUAAAUAAUAUUUUAUGAUUGAAAAUUAAAUAAAACUAUAAACAAUUUUACUAGUAAUUGUUCAUAGUAAAAUUUAGUUAUCAUGACUAUUGAUACUUUAAAUAUAAUAAGAAUUAUUUAUCAUAUAUAAAAUCAAAAUUGUUUUUUAAUUUGCUAACUCACUUGCAUUUAAACUUUUUAUCAAAUAAUAUCAAAUUGAACCAUCAUAUUUUUAAACUAAUUUAUUAAACUUUAUUUUGCUUCUUAUUAAAACAUUAAUUAUAACAAGGAAAUUAAAUAAUUUUAACUAAAGAAAAAUAGGUAACACACUAAUUUGUUUCUUAACUUAAAAAAAAAUAGUAAUAUAACUUUAAACUUUUUAUAAUUAAUAAGAACUAUUAUUAUUACUAUUAAUGAUAAUUUCUAUUUAUGAUAUAUAUAUAUAUAUAUAUAUAAGAUUUUCUAAAAAAUUAUAAUAGGUAACCCAAAAAUUGUUUAAAAUAAAUAAUAGACUUUGGUCACGAUUGUGUGAACCCCGUGGCCAUAGGUUCAAAAUAUUUAAAAAAAACUCUAUGCAUUGGUAAUGGUCAAGCGAAAUUUGUAACUACAGGUUCUUAUACAGUCACGGUCAAUCAAUGGCGUGACUAAAAGUCACGGUCAAUCAAUCACGUCACUCAAAGUCACAAAAUAUCUAUUUAGUGACGGUUUCACAAAAACCUGUGACUAAAACAUCUUUUUCAUUACACUUUUUGUCACGGAUGAUAAAAUAACCGUGACUAAAGUUAUUGGCGCCAAAAUUUCCCUCCAUAAAUUUACAAAUAGUCACAGUUUUAAAUAAAUCCGUGACUAAAAUACCUCUUAUUAAUCCUUUUGGUGACGGUUGAUAAAAUCACCGUGACUAAACAUGUUUUUUUUUUUUUCCAAAUUUGAUUUAACACAUAUAGUCACAACCUUACCCAAUAAUAUCUUUGGUGGGCCGUGACUAAAGAUUCGUCAUUAAAAAUCUAUUUUUUUGUAGUGCUAGUUGGUCCAUGCAAAAUUCUUGCCCCCGUACAUAGACCAUUCACAUAAAAACAAGUGGGUAAGAAUUCAAUGAAAACAUUAUUUGUUAAGCAAAAUUGGGAAAUUGAAAUCAAGUUCUUUUUCAUGGUGAGAACACAAGGGAUAUUAUUAAGUUGAAGUAGCUUUAAUGCAGUUGGGAGGGUGGUGGAUCCUGUGUGUGUGAUUUCUAGACCUUUACCAUCACCAAUAAUUAUGUCGUCUGGGCCAGCAUAGUCGGAAUGCAAAGAUAGAUUCUGAAGAUCAUUAGAUAUGUGGUGUGAGGCACCAAAAUCCAAGACCCAAUUUGGAGAGACAACAGUUGGUUGAGUUGUCGCAUGUGUUUGUGCAGAAGAGGGGCGGUAACUGUAAUUGGGUGGAACACCAUGAUGUUGACUGGCAAUAUAUCGAAAUGAUGGACAUCUUUUCGCUGAGUGUCCUUGAACACCACACAAUUGACAAGUCCCCUUAUAUGGAUGAGGGGUGUGAUUCGAAGUAUUCGAGGUAGUCAUUGGUUGAGGUUGUUUGGAUGUACGGUAUUGAGACGAAGAGUAAGGCUGUUGAUUGAAGAAUCGAUGCGAUUGUGGUUGUUUGGUAGCAGCAUUGGUGGAAGCAGGCAAUGAGACAUUCCAAGAAGAAUACUUGGCAGAUUCUCAUAAAGUUUGAGCCUCAAGAGGAAGCAAUUUCUCAUAAAGUUCCUCAAAGGAAAAACAGUUUCAUGGGCAUGGAUGGUUGAGUGUAAAUCUUUGUACAUCUCAGGCAAACCAUGAAAUAUUUGAAUAAUGAAGUCCUCAGGGUCUAUGGUGACGUUCAUGAGAUAGAGAACAUCAACGCAAAUUUUAACAAAUUGCAUAUACUGUGUUAUGGACUGAGUGCCUUUGGACAAGUUGUCGAGUUGAGUCCGAUAAUGAAUUAUUCGGCUUCGAGAUGCUUUAGCAUAGGUGUUGUGAAGUGUAGACCAAGCCUCAAGGGAGGUUGUGGCUGAUGCAAUGAAUGAGAAAAUUGUUGGACUAAGUGAUGAAACAAUAGCAUUAAGAAGAUGGUCUUGACGAAUCCAAUGGGUGUAAGCUGGGUUUGGGGUUGUAGUACCCUUUUCAGAAGUAAGAGUGCUAGAAGGACAUGGUAAAGUGCCAUUGACAUAUCCCAGUAAAUCAUAACCGACUAGGAGAGUGUAAAAUUGGAGUCUCCAUGCAGAAAAAUUGUGUUGAGUGAGUUUGAUGGGGGUUUGGGAAGAGGCGUUUAUGGCUAUGAGGUUUUGAGUAGUGUAUAUAGAGAUGUUGGCAGCAGUGUCGAUGGAGGAAACAAUUGAGGGGGAAGGGCUAGAGCCUUCGUUGGUUUAUGGGUUUGGUGAGGCAUGAGAAUCAACUAUGUGAGCUAUGGUUGCUCUGAUACCAUAAAGACGAUACAGGCUUUGAGAGUUAAAGAUUGUUCUUUCUAUAGAUCAAGGCAAGAAGUAUAUAUAUAGUAUACAACCUAGCGUUACAGACUUACCAAAUUAACUCCACAAUAAAGGGAACUAUACAUGGUUGGUUACCAAAACAAAUAUAGGAGAUUAGCUGUACAUAUUACUGAAAUAUAGAGACGAUCACGGAGGAUUUGAUAGAGAUUGAAGUUGACUUUCAAACGAACCAUUUUCCUUAUCAGGUACUAAUUCAAAGUUCUUGGGUGGUACUUGAAUUAUAUCCCCAACAUUGAUGAUAUAUGCAUCUAGGGUGGGCUUAACUCGAAUCCAUUCUCCAUCAGUUUUUUGCUUUACUUCCAACCCUCUGACAUCAUCCUGGGCAAGGAUGGUUAAGGCUUCGGCAUCCUUUUGGCAACGAACACCCAGAGCUAGGUGAGGGAUGGGGCAUGGUGGGUAGUGAUUGAGGCGGAUGAAGGUAGUUGAUUCUUCAAAGAAAAGAUUGAAUCUGUUUUCCGGCAAACCUAAGCUCAGAGAGAUGAGUCCCAACAUCUUGAAAGCUAGUUUUUCCAUUUCUCUAGCAUAUUCUUCACAUACCUCCCUGUAUAAAUUGGUUCAAUUAGAACCAAAAAACCAAGUAAAUCAUUGAAGUGACUCUGCCUUAGCUGGUGGAAUUUGUACCUUAAUUCAGGAGAGUACUGAGGCCACUGAUUGAUCAACUCUUUGAGCUCCUUGUCGUCAGGAUCAGGCGAAGCAGGGAUGAAGGCGGGGGAUGACACCACGAAAUCAAAGACUUCCUUCCAGUCCCUAACGUUCUUGGUAUGCUCAGUAUCAAAAUACCACAAAGGAUUCACCCCAUCUCUACUCACCUUCCUCUUCUCCUACAAUGGCAGAGCGAAGAACUUCCUCGCCGCAUCCUCAAUUUUCCGGCGAGACUCCGAGGGCAUCCCAUGGUUGAUGACUUGAAAGAAGCCUCGAUUCUUGGAUGCAUCAGCUAUUUGAGAAACAUGGUUAGAGGCAUUGGCGGAAGAGAGAUCAAUGAGUGGGAUGCCUUCAGCUUCGAUAACAACGAGCUUAGGCCCAUGUUGGGUGUCUUGGAUGAAGGCUGGAUCGACCUCUCCCAUGGCUGUGGUAGUGAUUAGAACCUAGAAAUGGUGGUUAUGCACUGGUAGCUGCAGGUUGAGAUUGUGAAGGGGACUUGGGCCACUUGGCAGGUGAUUUUUGUAGUGUAGUGGGGUUGGUUUGGUUCAUUGAACCUUGACAUAAUGACAUAAAUGGGAUACGUUUUAUAAGUUCAAGGAAUCAUGGUAUUUGGAAAAUAUGAAUGAGUUGAAAAUUUUAAAAAAUAGGUUUAUAGGAGUAUAUUUUAAGGAAAAUAAUUUUCAAAUCAUAUCAUGUAUAGGAUAGUGACUUUGUACAUGUUUGAGGGGAAUCAUGUCAAAGUGCACUAUUUGAAAAACAUGGCUAAAUUGUAAACUUAAAAAAGUGGUUUCAUGGAGAGUACAUUAUGAGAAAAAUAAUUUCCAAAUCAUGUACUAAAAUAAUAACUGUAUCCAUGCUUCCAAAACUACUAUUCAACAUAUUUUCAUCAUGUCACAUUUUCCUAUGACGUCAUUGCCCUCAUUUCUUAGAAGAAAAACCCUUUCUGUUCUACUUUACUUUACACUGUUUGUUCCUAUAACCCUUUCCUUUUUUUAAUUUUAAUUUUUUUAAAAAAAUAUUUCUCAUCUAUUUUCUCGAUUUUUAAAAUUCUAUUUAAUUAAAAAAAUUAGAAUUUUUUUUAAAGUACAAUUCAUUUAUUUAUUUUUUCAUUUUAUUUAAAUGUGAUGUAUAAUUAAUACAUUAACAUAAAUUAGUUUUUAAUAUAAAAAUAUAUUCAUCUAUAAUAAUUAAAAAUCUAAUAAAUAAAUAAAUAAAUAAAUAUUAGUAUUUUAAAUAAUAUUGAUUUCGUAUAUACAAUAUUUUAUUUUGUUUCAUUAUUAUAGAUCUCAUUUUCUAUAUUUUUUAUUUCUAAUUUUUCUUAUAGAAUUUUAAACCUAGAUUUUUUAAAAAUGAAAUUUAAAAAAACACUAGAAAUUAAAGUUUUUGUUUUCUUCAAAAUAAAAACAAAAAAAAAAUAAUAUACAAAAAAAAAAUAUUAGUUUACCUUUAAUUUCAUUCAACAAAAAAUUAGUAAUGAUAAUUUUUUAAGAGUAUUUAAUUUUAAAAGUAAUAUUUGAAGAUAGGUAAAAUAAAAAUUUUAAAAGUGUUUGUAUUAAAAUUUUGAAUAUAAAUUCACAACUCCCAUCAUAAUACAUUGAUAUUUAAAAUAAAAAAAACCCCUAAUGAUUUUUUUUUAUUAUAUUAAACAUGUAAAAAAAGUACAUUUUUGUUUAAUUAAAAAUUUAAACCAUUAAAAUUGUUUUUUUCUUUAAUAAAUAAUGUUUUUAAAGAGUACAUUAUACCUAUUUUUUUGGGCAUGUUAUUUAAUAAUUGCUACCAAAGUCAUAACAAUGACAAUAAAAAACUAAAUAUAAUAGUGCAUAUUUGCUAUCUAUAGUGGUACUUUUAGUUACUAACAUUAUUAUUUUUAAGUAAAAAUAAUGUUAUUAUUUCCUGACAUAUUUGAUGUAGAGGUUGAAGUGAUGACAGUGCUAAAUAAGUUAGUACAUCCUAUUAUCUACAGUGAUAUUUUUAGUUACUAUUAUUAUUAUUUUUAGGUAAAGACAAUGUUACUAUCUCUAGUGAUACAUUUGAUGUAUGGAUUGGAGUGGUGAUAGAUGAUGUAACAACUGUGUAUAUGGGGUCAAUCAAGUGUAAUUGUCCUCUUAUUUGUAUAGAUCGCAACCCACCUCCGACAGUGGUUGAAAAGUAGUCUUGGAAGCAUAUCACCAAAGGGACAUUUUGAAUAAUAAUUUGGGAAAAAGCGUUCAUCAGACAUAGCCUAAAAAGUAUAUCCCAACAUUGCUGUUUAUUUAUCAAGCAAAUUACAUUAUUAUUGUCACACCAAACCUCCAAAUUCAACAUGUACUUAGCCUAUAUACUGGAUGGUGAACGGGCUAAAACAAGCUCUUACUGAUUACAGAUAGAUACUGUCCUACUGACACUUUUACUCUGAUACCUUGAAAUGAGAAAUUUGGAGGUUUUCCACAUCAAGCUUCUUGAAAUUGCUGCGCCUUCUCGCAGAAAAGAACUUUCCCCAGUUGUAUGCUCUGUAAUUUUGCUUUUCCCCCUUCGUCAGCUCCUCCAAGGGCUUCACCCAAACAUGCUGCCCGGGAUUGAAAGAGAACGGAAUCGAAAACCUUUCCCUCUCUGAAUUCACAGUCACCCUGUGCUCCACACUUUCAUAAGUAUCAUUGCUCCAGGCCUGGUUUAAUAUCAGUAUAAUUAGCCAAAUGGGUGUAACUGAGCCAAACAGUACUGAUAAGCAUGUACUUAUAAUUCGAAGUUCUUGGGUGGUACCUGAAUUAUAUCCCCAACAUUGAUGAUAUAAGCAUCUGGGGUGGGCUUAACUCGAAUCCAUUCUCCAUCGGUUUUUCGCUUUACUUCCAACCCUCCGACAUCAUCCUGAGCAAGGAUGGUUAAGGCUCCGCCAUCCUUGUGGCGACCAACGCCCAGAGCUAGGUGAGGGAUGGGGCAAGGUGGGUAGUGUUUGAGGCGGAUGAAGUUCGUUGAUUCUUCAAAGAAAAGAUUGAAUCUGUUUUCCGGCAAACCUAAACUCAACGAGAUGAGUCCCAAUAGCUUGAAAGCUAAUUUUUCCAUUUCUCUAGCAUACUCUUCACAUACCUCCCUAUAUAAAUCAGUUCAAUUAGAACAAAAAAGAUAAGUAAUUCACUGUAGUUAUUGUGCCUUAGCUGGUGAAAUUUGUACCUUAAUUCAGGAGGGUACUGAGGCCACUGAUUGGUCAGCUCUUUGAGCUCCUUGUCGUCAGGAUCAGGCGAAACAGGGAUCACGGUGGGGGUUGACACCACGAAAUCAAAGACUUCCUUCCAGUCCCUAACGUUCUUGGUAAGCUCCGAAUCAAAAUACCCCAAAGGAUUCACCUCAUCUCUACUCACCUUCCUCUUCUCCUCCAAUGGCAGAGCGAAGAAUUUCCUCGCCGCACCCUCAAUUUUCCGGCGAGACUCCGAGGGCACCCCAUGGUUGAUGACUUGAAAGAAGCCCCAAUUCUUGGAUGCGUCAGCUAUUUGAGAAACAUGGUUGGAAGCAUUGGCGGAAGAGAGAUCAAUGAGGGGGAUGCCUUCAGCUUCGAUAACAGCGAGCUUAGGCCUAUGUUGGGUGUCUUGGAUGAAGGCUGGAUCGACCUCUCCCAUGGCUGUGGUAGUGGUUGGAAGUUAGAAAUGGGGGUUAAGCACUGGUGGCAGCAGGUGUAGAUGGUGACGGGAAAUUGGGCCACACGGCAGGUGGUUUUUGUAGUGUGGUGGGGUUGGUUUAGUACAUUGAACCUGGGCAUAAUUUGGGUUACUUUUUAAGGUUUGGUUGAGGGUGUGACCUCAUGGAUUGCGCAUAUAUUAAUGAUAAUUGGUCAAGUGAUACUGCAGUCCCAAAGGGAAUCUCUCUCAAUGAUUUUGCCGACAGCUCCCUCCACAUUAAAAUGUUUCAUCCGUAUUUGAAUUGGAGUCUAAUGCUCUGAUCAAAGAUACCUUUCGCUUAGUCGAUCAGUGUUUGAUUACUAAAUAAGAUGGUGUCACAAAUAUUUUUGAAUUCUAGGUCAAAGUUAACGAGUGCAAAGGUUAUCAAUUUGAUAAGAUAAAUUGUUUAGAAACACUUUUAAAAAUGAUUCUUGAAAAAAUAUUUUUUUAAGUUUAAAAACCAUUUUUAAAUUUAGAAUAAAGGUUUAUUUAAAAACUUAUAUUAUUAUAAACUUAUUUUUUAUAUUUUUAAAAAAUAAUUUUUAUAUAUAAUAUUUUAUUUUCAAUCAUUUUUUACAUUUUUUUUAAAAAGGUAAAACUACUAAAAAAAAUACUUAAAAUAAGUUAUCAACAAAUGUCUUAUUGUCAUGACAAUUUUCAAAAACAUGUUUUAGAAACAAUUGAAAAUCAAAGUAUUUUCAUAUUCCUUUAUUCCCAAAAACAAAAAAUUAUUCUUGGUAACGGUUCCAAAUGUAUCCUUCAUUUGUUUAUCUUAUUAUAUAAGUUUUAAAAUAAAAUACAAAAAAUAAUUUUCAAUGAUAAUUUGUUACGGUUUUAUCCAAAAUUUUUAUAUUUUUAAUCAAUUAAUUUAUUGAUACGUAUAUUUCUCAUGAGACCUUUUUCUCACUAAAAACAUUACUUUUUUAUAAGACAUUUUUAAUAAAUUAAUUUUGAUACGUAGAUUAAAAAUGUCUUAUAACAAUAUAAAUUAAUUAAAUCAUUAGUUGGCCAUUUGGUCUCAUGCUUACACAACGACUUCUCUCAUGGCUGCCUAACAUGAAUGAACAACUCUCUACAACAAGUAAGGUACACUUAAUUAAAAAAUUAUUUAAUUUAAAGAUGUUCGAGAAUGAGAAUUUCAAGUAGCACUUGAAUGAAUUUAAUGAGACCACAAAUUAAUUAAAUUCGAUGGUUAUUAAAUUUGAUGAUAAGAUUCAAGCCUUAUUAAUCCUCGGUUAAUUGCUUGAGAGUUGGAAAGACACAAUCACCUCAAUCAAUAGUUCAUCCAAAAAAUCAAAAUUGGUGUUUUCGAAUGUAGUAGACAUGAUUAUAACCGAGGAGAUCAAGAAGCAUGAAGAAGGUUUUUCAAAUUCAUGAUCAACAUUAAAUAUGGAGAGCAAAGCUAGAAAUCAUAAUAAAGGUAAUAGGCGUGAUAAAUCCAAAUCGAGGAAUGAUAGGUUGAAAUACAAAAAUUCCAUAAAUUCCUAACAUCAGACGAGUAAGAACAAUAUCAAAUGUUGGAAUUGUGAUUGGAGCUAAAAUAUGUGCUCAAAUGACAUAUAUUUGAUAUGAUUUAUAUAUCAUAAGACACUCAAAUCAUCUGACUCUACCCAAAUUGAUACUAAGGUCCUAGCCAUGAGUUUAACUUGUAUUUUGGAGAUUUAUCUCAGGUUUAAGAAAAGAAAAUGGUGUAAGGUGAAUCAAUUUAGAUUUUGAAAGAAUAAGAAGGGGUUAAAUGAGAAAAUGAACAAGUCAAGACUCAUGAAAUAUGAAGAAAGGAAAGACGAGGAUAUCGUGAGUUUGGGAGAUGAGGAAUGACCAUUAUCAUGAAGUAAGAAAUAAGGCAUACAAACAUAGAAAAUGAGGCAUGAAACAAAAUUCAUCAAGUUUGCAUGGAAAUUUGGGACUCAAAAUCUGGUAAUAACAUAUACUCUGACUUUAAAAUGAAAUUUGGAGCAUUUCCCAAAGUCCAUUUUAGGCAAGCUAUAUAUUGUUUUGAAGCAUGGGAAGUUAGGAAUUCAAAGCUUCAAACAAUGUCCAAAUUAGAGCUAAAUAAGGAAGUUAUGCACAUUUAAAGCAAACUAGUUAGAGAGAAAAACUGAGUUCGAAAUUGGUCACUUGGAUUUGAAAUGGUUUUUGUCCAUUUAAAACUCAAAGAAAUGAAAGAAAACUUUUGGCAUUGGCUAAGUUUGAAUCUCUUUACCUAUUUCAAACAAGAGGCAUACAUUUCAAAGUCAAAUGAACAUACAUGGGCAGUGAGUGAGUUCAAAAUUCACUAUGAAUUUUGAACUCACCUUGUUGAUUUCAAAUUGGACCAUUUAUUUCCCACUUAUGAGUUCAAAAUUGAUUUGAACUCACCCAAAUUUCGAACUCAACCAUUAGUGACCGAUUUUAGGCUCUGAGACAUGUCAAAACGAGUUUCAAAUGCCUUUAUCCAAUUCAAAACGCAUCAUACUCAUUUAGAACUCGUAAUUUUUGGGGUUUUUUUUAAAGGUUAUUUAUGACUUUUCGUUACAAUAAGUGGCCAAUGAGAGUGUACCACAUGUUAGGUCAUUGAAGUUACUAUAAAAACUCUUUUAGUUAUAGUGUUUAGGUGAUCUUCCAAGAGUUAGACAUUUCGUGGGGAAGAAUACGAGAACUUUUGGUUUAUUUAUUUUCUUCUUUAUUGAAUGUAUUGUUUUUAGUUUCCUUUAUUUCAAAUUAUGAAUUUUUACUUUAUUAUGGAUUGUGAAUGUGACAUUACCCCCAUGAGAGGAUAAAAAGCUAACUUGGGGCUUAAACAUAAAAACUAACGGUUAGAAAACUUAUAGGGACAUUAGGUAAAUUAUUAUAACAAUAAGAUUAAUUAAUGGUUGAGUUACAAUUUAUUAAUUUUUUAUCCUAUCAUUGUGAGUUAGUUUAGAGAAUAAUAUAGUAGGUGAUUAUUCGAUACUAGUGAUUCUUGGUAACUCUUGAUCAUUAGUAAUCCUGAUUUUUCUUAUAGUUAUCUGCCCCAAAACGAAGUUAGAAGGAGUAGGAAAUGUUAAAAAGCCAAACCUUAAAUUGAUAAUAAUUUCAUUCAUUUGAUGUGUUGACAAAUCAGAGGGUUGGCUGCAUCCAUCAACUCUCUUUGUGUUCGCCGUGAGCACUUGGGUGAAUGCACUAUAAGGUUAGAGUAUGCACAUUUCUUAACAGCAAUUGCUUUUAGGAGAAUUGGUAGUGCCUGAGGUCCUACAUGAUAGUUUUAAGAACUUGUUUUAAAAAGAAAAAUUAAGUUUUAGAUGUACUUUUGAGUUAUAGGGCUCAAGUUGAUUGCAAGCGGCCAAGAAUCCCAAAACCCUAAGAUCACUCUAGUUAAGAAACCUUUGUUAUCUCUAUUUCUAUACCUUAAGUUAUAUUGUGGAAAACCUCAAACUUAAAUCAAUUAAAUUAAAAAUCAAUAUUCGUUUUGUUAUUAAUUUAGUUUUUUUUUUUUUUUACUUAGUUUCACUUCAUAAAAGUUAAUUCACAUAUUGUUUUUCGCUUUAGGAUUUAAAUAAAAACAAUUCAUUUAUCCUAGUAUUGAAAAAUUCCAUAUGUUAGUCCCUAAGGAUGAUACCCAAAGAAUUACAAAAACCAUAGUGACUAUUUCUCUAGUUUUUUCUUAACCAAAGUUACUAUGUAAAAAGGCUUAGUAUUUUACAUAAGAGAGAAGAUUGAUCAAAUUGUGGAAAGAAGAGACAUUAUAAAAAUGAGUGUAAGGCUGCCAAGAAGGAUAAGGAUGGUGACAACAAGACCAAUGCAAAUGUUGUGUCAAAAGAAUUAGAUGAUGCUCUUAUCUGCUAUUUAGAGAGAACAACAUAAUCGUGGGUAUUAGAUUCAGGGGCAUCGUUCCAUGCUACCUCAAGUGGAGAAUUAUUUGAGAAUUAUGUCUCAGGUAAUCUAGGGAAGAAGUAUCUAGGUGAUGACCAAGCAUGUGUUGUUAUUGGCAUAAGUGAAGUGCAUAUCAAAUAUUUGAAUGGAUUUGUAUGGAAUUUGGACAAUGUGAGGCACAUUUCAAACCUGAGAGAUAAUUUUAUUUCCAUUGGGUAGUUAACAAAAGAUAGUUAUGUGACAACUUUUUUAGGUGACACAUGGAAUAUCUCAAAGGGAGCUAUUUGCCAUGGCAAGAAGAAUGAUACUCUUUACAUGACAAUGAAUGGUUGUGGGUUUAUUACAAUUGUUGAGAGCAAAGAAGAUUCGAAUUUAUGGCAUUAAAGGCUUGGUCACAUGAGCAAUGAGGGGUUGGAAAUUAUACACUCAAAUGGGAAGUUGUCAAGUUUGAAAUAAGUUGACAUUGACAUGUGUGAAAAUUGCAUACUUGGGAAACAAAGAAGGGUUAGCUUUAAGAAAGUUGGAAAAACUCCAAAAGAAGUAAAACUGAAGUUAGUUUAUACAAAUGUUUGGGGACUUGCUUCAAUUUCAUCUAUCGGUAGAAGAUUUUUUUUUGUGACCUUCAUUGAUGAUCAUUUGAGGAAAGUGUGGGUAUACUUUAUGAUACACAAAUGAGAAGUGUUUGAUGUAUUCAAGAGACGGAAAACAAUGGUGGAGAAUAAGACAUGUAUGAGAGUCAAGAAGUUACGGUUUGAUAAUGGUAGGGAGGAUGAAGAAUUUGAGUUCAAGAAGAUCUAUUAUGAAAAUGGAAUUAAAUUAGAGAAGACCGUGCCAAGGACACCUUACCAGAAUGGUAUAGCAUAAUGAAUGAACAAGACAUUGACUGAAAGAGAAAAAAAACGUGUAUACAAGCAAGGUUGUCAAAGGAGUUCUUGGCAAAAGCAAUCAACAAAACAACUUACUUGAUCACAAAAUACUGGAAAAAGUGUGAACUAAAAAAAAGGUAAAGUUUUCUCAUUUGAGGGUAUUUGGUUGUGUAUCAUAUAUAUAUAUAUAUAUGUGUGUGUGUGUGUGUGUGUGUGUGUGUGUGUGUGUGUGUGUGUGUGUAUACAUAUUAGUGAUCAUGACAUAAACAUACUUGAUGCUAAAUCACUAAAAUGUACUUUCUUAGCUAUGGUGUUGAUAAUUUUGGUUAUUAGUUUUGGGAUGACCAGAGUAAGAAAGUGAUUAGAAGUAAGGAUGUCGAUUAGAAGUAAGGAUGUCAUAUUUAAUGAGAAAGUUUUGUAUAUGUAGAGAGAUGCAACACAUUCCAAUAGUCUGGUACAACUUGAACCUAUUUACUUUGAGCCAAAUGAUGUCCCAUUGAAUAACAUGACAAAUAAGACAGGUCAUAAUCAUUAGAUUGAGGAAAAUACUGCAUAAGAUGUUAAUAUAUCACAAGAUCUAGUUUCAAUUCCUACUUUGAGGAGAUCUAACAAGCCACAUGUACCAAAUAGGAAGUAUUUAAAUUAUUUGCUACUAAUAGAUGGAGGUGAACCUAAAUGUUAUGAUGAGGCAUGUCAGAUGGAAGAUAAUAGAAAGUGGGAGCUUACGAUGAAAAAUGAAAUGAAGUCCCUUAUUCUUAACCAGACUUGGAAGCUAGUCGAGUUACCAAUGGGUAAGAAAGUUUUUCAUAAUAAGUGGGUGUAUUAAAUUAAGUAGGAGCAUGGUGGUUCUAAGAGAUAUAAGGCUAGAUUGGUGGUCAAAGGGUUUCAAUAGAAGAAAAAUGAUUGACUAUACAUACAUUUUCUCUCUAGUUGUGAAACUAACUAUUAUUCAAUAUGUUUUGAGUAUUGUAGCAAUAAAGAGUUUACAUAUAGAACGGUUAGAUGUGAAGAUAGCUUUCCUCUAUGGUGAUUUUGAUGGGGAAAUUAGUAUAUAUGCAACAACUAGAGGGUUUUGUAGUGAAGGGUAAAGAGAAUCUGGUGUGCAAAUUAACUAACAGUCUGUAUGAUUUAAAACAAGCCCCAAGACAAUGGUAUAGAAUAUUUGGUAGUUUCAUGCAAAAGAAUAGGCAUCUCAAGUGCAAUGCAGACCAUUGUUGUUACUUUAAGAGAGUUGGUUCUAUCUAUAUUAUUUUGUUACUUUAUGUUGAUGGCAUGUUAGUAGUUGACGCAAAUCUAGAUGAAAUUAACAAGUUGAAGAAAUAGUUGUCUAGUGAAUUUGAAAUGAAGGACUUGGGAGCAACAAAGUAGGUACUUGGGAUGAAGAUUAGCAAAGACAAAUAAACGAGCAUCUUAUGGUUAUCUUAGGCUAAGUAUAUAUACUCAUAAAGUAUUGCAAAUAUUCGACAUGAGUAAUGUAAGGCAAUUAGAACAUCAUUAGCAAAUCAUUUCAGGUUGUCUAAUUAAGCAUUGCCCAUGGGCAGAUGAGGAAAAAGACUUCAUGGCUAAGGUUUCAUAUGCCUUAGCCAUUGGAAGUUUGAUGUAUGUUAUGAUAUGCACGACACUAGACAUUGCCUAUGCAGUGGAAGUUGUGAGCAAAUUUAUGUCAAAUCUAAGUAAGUAGCAUUAUGAAGUAGUGAAAUGGAUGCUUAGGUACUUACAGGGUACUACAAAAAAAUGUCUAUGUUUCGAAAGGGGUGAGUUAAAAUUGCAAGGAUAUGUGGAUGUUGAUUUUGCCAAUGAGAUAGAUAAUUGGAAAAGUACUACAUGGUAUGUGCUCACUUUGGGUACUAUUGCUAUUAGUUUGAUUUCUCAAUUGUAGAAGAUUGUUAUUUUAUCUACAAUUGAAGUAAAAUAUGUGGCUAUCACAGAAGCUAGAAAAGAAAUGAUUUGGCUAUAGAGUUUGUUAGCAAAGUUAGGAUUCAAAUAAGAUAUGAAUGUUUUGCAUAGUAAUGGCCAAAGUGCAAUACAUUUGGCUAAGUAUUCAACAUUUCAUUCAAGAACUAAUUAUAUUACACUUCAUUAUCACUCCAUCAGGUUUUUGCUUGAAGAUAGGGUGUUAACAUUUGUGAAGAUACAAGGUAGCAAGAAUCCGGUUAACAUGUUAACUAAAAUAGUGAUAAUAGAAAAAUUGGAGUUGUGUGCAACUUCAAUUGGUCAAUAAUGAGAAUAGGUUGUUUGAGUGCACCCUCAUACCCAUUAAUCAUUGAAAGAGAAUGUUUACUUGUGUUUUAGUCUUCAAGUGGAAGAUUGUUGGAUUGUGAAGCUUGAAUCAGUUUUAUUAUGCCCCGAUCAACUUGUAGGGAUUGAAGGGCGCAAUGCUCUAUGGAGAAUUUAUUUAUUUAUUUUUAUGUAAUGAUUGACAGGUUUAAUCUUAUUAUAUAUUUUAACCCUUUUAUGUUUUAAGGUUUUGUUUUUUAAUGUGUAGUUGCAAUUGAGAGGUUUUUUGAGAGCUUUGCUAUUCCACUCCUUCUCAUCCCUUUUAUAGUGAAUUGUUGUAUGUUGGUGUACUCCAUUGAUGUAGGGAUCAAAUUGAUCGUAAAACCAUUUUUUUUUUUUUUUUGUUUCUAUUUAUACAUGAGUGUGUGCGUGAUUUGGUUAACAUCAGUUAUCUUAAUAAUUCUAUUCCUGGAAUAGGAAGAAAAUGAUGAUUCCAUUAAUGUAGCAUGCAUUGCUGCUUAUUUAUCAAGCAAAUUACAUUAUUAUUACACCAAACCUCCAAAUUCACCACGUACGUAUCGUAUAUACCGCAUGAUAAGAUUUAGAGAGGUAAAACAAGCGCUUAUUGUUUACGGAUAGAUAAUGUCCCACCGACCUUUUACUCUGAUACCUUGAAAUGAGAAAUUUGGAGGUUUUCCACACCAAGCUUCUUGAGAUUACCGCGCUUUCUCGUAGCGAAGAACUUUCCCCAGUUGUAUGCUCUAUACUUUGGUUUUUCCCCCUUCGUCAGCUCCUCCAAGGGCUGCACCCAAAGAUGGUGCGCGGGAUUGAAAAAGAACGGAAUCGAGAACCUUUCCCUCUCUGAAUUCAGUAUCACUCUGUGCUCCACACUCUCAUAAGUUUCGUUGCUCCAAACCUGGUUUAAUAUCAGUAUAAUUAGCCAAAUAGGUGCAAAAUUCGGUGAGCGAAAUAACUGAUAAGCAGGUGCUUAUAAUUCAAAGUUCUUGGGUGGUACCUGAAUUAUAUCCCCAACAUUGAUGAUUUAAGCAUCUGGGGUGGGCUUCACUCGAACCCAUUCUCCGUCGGUUUUUCGCUUUACUUCCAACCCUCCGACAUCAUCCUGGGCAAGGAUGGUUAAGGCUCCGGCAUCCUUGUGGUGACCAACGCCCAGAGCUAGGUGAGGGACAGGGCAAGGUGGGUAGUGAUUGAAGCGGACGAAGCUCGUUGAUUCUUCAAAGAAAAGAUUGAAUCUGUUUUCUGGCAAACCUAAGCUCAGAGAGAUGAGUCCCAUCAGCUUGAAAGCUAGUUUUUCCGUUUCUCUCGCAUAUUCUUCACAGACCUCCCUGUAUAAAUCAGUUCAAUUAGAACAAAACAAACUAAGUAAUUUACUGUAGUGACUGUGCCUUAGCUGGUGAAAUUUGUACCUUAAUUCAGGAGGGUACUGAGGCCACCGAUUGGUCAGCUCUAUGAGCUCCUUGUCCUCAGGAUCAUCCGAAGCAGGGCCGAAGGCGGGGGUUCUCACCACGAAAUCAAAGACUUCUUUCCAGUCCCUAACGUUCUUGGUAUGCUCAGUAUCAAAGUACCCAAAAGGAUUCACCUCAUCUCUACUCACCUUCCUCUUCUCCUCCACUGGCAGAGCGAAGAACGUCCUCGCGGCAUCCCAAAUUUUCCGGCGAGACUCCAAGGGCACCCCAUGGUUGAUGACUUGAAAAAAGCCCCAGUUCUUGCAUGCAUCAGCUAUUUGAGAAACAUGAUUGGAAGCAUUGGCGGAAGAGAGAUCAAUGAGGGGGAUGCCUUCAGCUUCGAUAACAGCGAGCUUAGGCCUAUGUUGGGCGUCUUGGAUGAAGGCUGGAUUGACCUCUCCCAUGGCUGUGGUAGUGAUUAGAACUUAGAAAUGGCAAUUAUGCUCUGGUAGCUGCAGGUGAAGAUGGUUACAGGACUUGGGCAACUCGGCAGGUGGUUUUUAUAGCAUAAUAGGGGUGUUGGUUUAAUACCUUGAACCUGGACAUAAUAUGGGUUACGUGUUAAGUUUUAGUUCGGGGUGUGAGCUCAUGGGUUGCGCAUAUGUUAAUGAGAUUUGGUCAAGUGAUACCUAGCUAUUUCCACGGCACCCUCAAUAUUCAAAUAUUUCAUCCGUACUCGAUUUGGAAGGUUGAUUAGUAAAUCUGAUGGUGUAAUGUCUAUUUUUGAAUUCAAUGCUAUAUAUUUAACGGUGAAGAUAAGAAAAAUAGAAGAGUUGAUAACGUUGAAGAAAAAAUGCCAAAGUUUUAAGAAGGUAGAGUUUUGAUGAGAAAUAGGUAAAAUUAAAAUUGCAUUAUAAUAAUAUAAAUUAAUUAAAUCGGUAAUCACCCAUUUAAUCUCAUUCUUAUCCACAAUUGUUGAUAGUUGAUCCUACAAAAUUCUAAAAAAAUCUUCCACAAAGACAAAUCACAAGAUGUUCAAUAACAUAUAUGCUUUUGCACCAAAAAUUGUAUAAGGGAAAAAAAAAUGAUGCACAAAAAAAAAAAAAAAAAAAUUCUAUAUCUAAUAUUAUUUCAUAGGAAAACUAACUAUAAUAAAUUUUAAAAGCAAAGAGCGUUUUACCAUAUCUAAAUAAUAGAUUAUUAAAUUCUUUAUUUUUCAAUUGGAUAUUUUUUUUUAAAUUAGAAACAUCUAUAUAAAAAUAAAAAUCACUUUAAAAAAAUUUUAAAUUUAAGAUAAUAAAUUUUUUAUAAUAUUUUAAUUCUUUUAAAUAAUUUUUAAAAUUAUUAUUUUUUCAAUAUAAAAUUUUAAGAGUUUUUGUAUUUUAUAUAUAAGUUACUAAUAUUCUCUUAUUUUAAACAUAGAAAAUAAAAAAUGUAACCAAAUGAAUUAGAAAAUAAAAAAGUUGAAUAAAAAUAGUCUAACCAUCUUAAACCUAAUAAUGUUUGACAGAAAACACUUAAAUAUACCUUGUAAUUUUCCUCACUGGUCAGCUCCUCCGAAGGCUUCACAUUCACAUGGUGCGCCAGUAAGAAGAAGAAUGGAAUCGAAACCCUUUCCUUCUUGUGUCGACCCACACUGAGAGCGAGCUCCAGCCACGAGCACGAUGGAUGGUGAUUGAGUCGGAUGAAGCAUUAGCCUUCAAAGAAUUCAUUCAACCGAUCCCCCACCAAGCCUAAGCUUAAGGAGAUGAGUUCCAAGAACUUGUAAGCUAAUUUUUCUAUUUCUCUAAUAUAGUUUUUCCAAAUUUUCCUGAAAAUAAAUCAUUAUAUAAAAUAUAUCAAUACUCAAAAUAAAUUUAAUAAAAUCUUGUCUUGCCUUUAUGUCUCUAGUUGAGUCUGUUUGGCUUCAAGCUGUGCAUUUAUGUCUCCGGUUGAGUUUGUUAGGCUUUGAGUCGCACCUUUACACCUCUAGUUGAAUAUGUUCGACUUUGAGCCAUGCCUUUACGUUUUGAGUUGAGUCUAUUCGGCUUUGAGCCACGCCUUUACAUUUUAGUUGAAUCUGUUCGAUUUCAAGCCGUGCAUUUACAUCUAUAAUUGAGUCUAUUCAGCUUCAAAUUGCAUCUUCACAUUUUUUGUUGAAUCUGUUCAGCUUCAAGCCACUCCUUUAUGUCUCUAAUUAAAUUUGUUUGGCUUUAAGUUUCACCUUUAUGCCUUUAAUUGAGUUUGUUCGGCUUUUAGUUGCGCUUUUACGUUUUGAGUUGAGACUAUUUGGCAUCGAGUUGCAACUUUAUGUUUCAAGUUGAAUUUGUUUAGCUUCAAAUCGUGCCUUUACAUCUCUAGUUGAGUUUGUUCGACUUCAAGUCAUGCCUUUAAGUCUCUAGUUGAGUUUUUUUAGCUUUGAGCUGCGCCUCUACAUCUCUAGUUGAAUUUGUUUGGCUUCGUAUCACAUCUUAUGUUUCGAAUUGAGUUUAUUCGACUUCGAGUUGUGCCUUUAUGUUUCUAGUUGAGUCUAUUCAGCUUCAAGCUGCACCUUUACUUUUUGAAUUGAGUUUGUUCGGCUAUGAGCAAUGCUUUUACAUUUCAAGUUAAGUCUGUUUGGCUUUGAGUUAAGCCUUUACGUCUCUAGUUAAGUCUAUUCAACUUCGAGCCGCAUCUUUCAUUUUUGAGUUGAGUGUGUUUGGCUUUGAACCACACCUCUAUGUUUCAAAUUAAGUCUAUUCAUCUUCAAGUCGCACUUUUAUGUCUUUAGUUAAGUUUGUUCAGCUUCGAGCAAUGCCUUUAGGUUUGAAGUUGAGCCUAUUUGACUUCAAGCCACACCUUUACAUCUCUAGUAGAGUUUGUUUGGCUUCAAGCUAUGCCUUUUUGUUUCGAGUUUAGUCUGUUCAGUUUUGAGCCAUGCCCUUACGUUUCAAGUUAAGCCUAUCCGGCUUCAAGUCGCGUCUUUACAUUUUGAGUUAAGACUAUUCGACUUCAAGCUAUGUCUUUACAUCUUUAGUUGAGUUUGUUCAACUUCAAGCUACGCCUUUACGUUUUGAGUUAAGUCUAUUCGGUUUCAAGUUGUGUCUUUAUGUUUUGAGUUGAGUCUGUUUGGCUUUAAGUCACACUUUUACGUUUUGAGUUGAGUCUCUUCAACUUUGAACUACACCUUUAUAUAUCCAGUUGAGUCUGUUCGAAUUUGAGUCACACCUUUGAGUUUUGAGUUUAGUCUGUUCGGCUUUGAGCCACACUUUUACAUCUCUUGUUGAGUCAUAUUUAGCUUCAUUCUACGCCUUUACAUUUCCAAUUGAGUUUAUUUAGCUUUGAGUUGUGCCUAUGUUUUAAAGUUUGUUCAAUUUCGAGCCACAUCUUUAGCCUUAUUAAGUUUGUUCAAGUUUAGUUGUGCCCUCACCCAUAUCCUUAGUUUUAAGUUUAUUCAGCUUCAAGCCAUGCGUUUGUCCUUGUUAAGUAAGUUCGGCUUCGAGCCACGUCUUAGUUUUGAAGUUGUUUAUCCUUGAGCCACACCUUCCUUUCUUUUUUAGUUCACUUAGGGUUUUCUCCUUCCUCGAGUUUAUUAGUGCAUUCGAGUUCAUUUUUCUUUAAGUUGAUCACUCUUUAUCUUUGUUGUCCUUGAAUUGUUCAUUGUGUCACAAUUCAGUGUUUUUCAUUGCAUAUAUACUCCCCACAUUGUCUAUAUUUUAUCCUGAUGAGUUUCUUUCCCAAUACGUGACCUCGAUCUUUGAGUUUAGCAUGCCAUGUGCUAAGACAAUUUCGAGUGCUCUUUUGUUCUUCAAUGCAAUUCACUUCAUACCAUUCAUCACUCAUGUUUCACUGUUUGUGUUCAUUUCAUUCGUGAUCUACAUCGGAGAGAGACAUAUUUGUUGGCCCUUUACUUUGUCCUAUAAUACAUAUUUUCACAUUUUUUUAUUUUCCUCUUGCCCCAUACUCAUUUUUGGUGCUCGUUUUGGAUCCUUCUUGUUUGAUCAUUCAUGGUCCCUUAUUGGUCCACGUUUACUUGACUCAUUAUUCAUUUUUUAGUCGCAUUUUAGAGGCCAUGUAGGAGGAAUUUUGAGUACAUGCAAGCUUAUUUUUUAGAGACCCUUAGUAGUUGGCUCAUAUGAGGACACGCCUCCUCACACUACUACAAAAAUCAUUUAUGGUGUCACUAUUUAUAGUGACACUUUUAAAAUAAUGACACCAUAUAGCUUAAAAUCCACAAAGGUGACACAUCAUAUAAAAAUUUUCAAUUAGGAUCAAUGAUAUUAAUUUUAGGUUUAUAAUGUCAGUUGCCAAAAAAUGACACCAUAUAAAAUAUUUUUUUUCUAAAUAUUAUAACUCAAUUGGCCCACUUUGAGAAUAAUGAUAGUAUAUAAAAAAAUCAUUGUUUCCACAUACCCACAAUCCAAAAAAAUUUCAUUCCAUAACCCUAACCAAAAUUUUUUUCUACCUCUUCUCACACCCAUAGUUAACACACAACUGUUCUUCUCUGCUUUGUGGACUCUCAGGUAACCCAAAAUCUCUUAGAUCUAUCAUUUUCAUUUAUUUUUUUAUUAAUGUCAAAAUCUUUAUGAACACAAUUGAUUUAUGUUUAUUGAUUUAAUAUAUUUGUAAUAUGGAUUGUGUAAAUAGUGUUUUUUUAUUGAGUUGUAGGAAAGUAAAAACUAGGUUUAACAUUCCACCAUAUCUUCUGGUUCAUUGUUAAACCCAUAAACCCCAAAAUGAAUGAAAAUAAGAAAAAUGAAUUAUUUUUAAAUAUCUUUUAUACUCAAGAUAAUAUAUAAACAUUUUACAAUACAAAAUUUUUUUUUGAUCUUGUAGGAAAUUUCCUUUGAUAGGAUUUUCUGUUUGUUUUCAAGGAAUAUUGUAGUAUAUUGUGAUGAAGAUAUUGAUUGGUGUUAUUUGAAAAAUAAUUUUUUAGAAAAUUAUUCUCAAUAUUAUCAUCUCCCACAAAAUGAAAAAUGAAAUAGUUUUCAUAUCAUAUUGGAGUCGGUUUGGAAUGUUGGAAUUAACAAUGAGAAAUUAAUUUUAUUUUUUAUUUAUUAAUGUAAAUGAAUUGUUUUUUUUUUAAAUUUAAAUAGGAAUGAAAAUUUUUAUAAUUAUAAAAAUGAUCAAAUAUUAUAUUUUGAUUUUUUUUUCUAUUCUUUUACAUGGUAUUAUGGUUAAUAUCUCAUCUUGUUCUAUAUAUAUUUUUUAUAUUCUUAAAAUAUGUUUUUUGCUUUUUGUUUUUACUUUCUUUUCUUAUUGUUUUUAUAUGUGUUGACCAAAAUUUAGAGUAAUUUGAGAUUGGCGAUAAAAUUUUCCUUUCAAGGUUAGAAAAUUUCUAUAAAAUCAUUUUAUUACAUAAUUUUUUCAAUUCCUUCCAUAAAACUCUUCCUUUUUCCUUUUUUAAGAAGAUGUUUGAUAAUUUUCUUUUGAUUUCUAUGAAAUUUCCUUUUAUUGGACUGUUUGUUUAUUUUCUAAGAAUAUUAUAGUAUGUUAUGAUGAGGAUAUUGGUUGGUGAUAUUUGAAAAUUAAUUUUUGAGAAAAUUAUUCUCAAUAUUGUCAUCUGCCACAAAAGGAUUUUAAAAGUAUGUUUUAUUUUUGCCUUCUUUUCUUAUUGUUUUUAUAUGCAUUGACCAAACUUUGGAGUAAUUUGAGAUUGAUGAUGAAAUUUUCCUUUCAAGGCUAGGAAAUUUCUAUAAAAUCCUUUUAUUACAAUUUUUUUUUUUUUCCUAUUCCUUCCAUAAAACUCUUCCUUUUCUUCAUUUUUCUUUUUUGAUGUUUGAUAAUUUAUUGAUCUAAAGAAUAUUAAAAGUAAAAAAUUUAAAAUAUUGAAUAUUUUUUCCUUUGAUGUUGUUAUUUUAUUAUUAUUUUUAUUUGAACAUAUUUUUCAUAUCCAAAUUUUCUAUUAAUUAUUUUACUUUUAAAAAAAAUAUCAAUUGAAGUUAUGACUGAAAAAUCAAUAAUUUUUAUGAAAGGUUCUUUAAUUCUUUCUCAUACUAAUUUUUCUCUUAACAUUUCUUAAUAGUGAAUUAGGUUUUUUUGUUUUAUAUACACAAUUUUCAUGCUUGUUAUAAUAUCAUGUCCUAUCAUAUUAGUAGUUGAAAACAUUUUUAUAUUUUGUUACUAAAAUUUUAUUUUAUAUAAUUUACAUGAAUUUUAAUGGACAUUGUUAUUUCACAAAAUGAACAUUAAAAAAAAUAUUGAAAUUAAGAAAAUCCUUCCAAGAAAUAAAAAAAUAUAAAAAGAAUUGGAUGUUAAAAAUGAUUUUUAAAAGCAUUAUGAAUUAUAAAAAAUAAAUUUAAAAGAUUAGUAUUUUCUAAAAUUUUAGAUUUAUAUUUUGAUUUUGUAGUUUUGAUUUAUUUCAUAUUUUCUUGAAUUGUUUUUAUUUGAGUUCAAAUGUGACUACUUUGUUAUGAGAUUCAUUAAAAGGAUAAUUGUUGAUUCUACAGUUAUUGCAUUAAAGGUUUUACUCAUUUAAUGAAUUGUACAUAGUUUCAUACUUCUAAUUAUUGUGAUAUUAAUGUUAUUUUCAUUUGAUUUUAGUUUGAUGACAAAAAACAUAUUCUCAAGUAGACUUUGAUGAAAUAAGAGGAGAAUGGAUUGCUUUUGUGUUAUAACUAAUCAUGAAUCAUGUUGAUGUAUCGUGAUCAUGCAUGGUGAGUCCCUUAGUUGUUAUAUAAAUUUUCCAUUGGUAUUGUAUAACAUUACUUAUUCUUUAUGAACUAUUUUUAUAUCAAAAUAGGAAAAAGAAAAAAGGAAACAUUAGUACUUAGAUUUGUUUAUUUUUUUAUAACAUCACUAUGGACCCCGCAUUUUCGGCUCGAUGCGUUUCCCACUCGAUGGCGAGCUCGAUUUUUAAUUUUGAAAAAUGAUUUUUAUUCAUUAAAAAUGACUUGGAGUCGCCACUUAUUUUUGUUUUAUUUUUAAAGGGUAAACAAAAUAAGAAAAAAAAACCCUAAGUGUGACUCCUUAUUUUAGAAAAGGCGAUCUACGAAAAAACCGGAUUGGGCUCGGGGGUUAGGUUACUUAUCGGGAAGGUACGGUAAAGACCGUAGCACCCCUCUAAGUCCCUAAAAUCGGGUCUUUACUAAUAGAAUGAAGCUGACGUGGCAGUCAACAAGAAAAUCGAUGAAUAGUCAAAUCAAUCAUGCACAAUAUGAGAAGCAAAACAUGUAUAAAGAAUGAGCGAAAUAUGAAUAGAUGCGUACCUGGACGGCAAUCACGAACGCGCUAUCAUGAAACAUGGUUAGUGAACAAUGAACAGAUAUAAUUAAGCGCAUAUCAAGGAAUAGAGUAAAUCAAUCAUGCAUAGCAAAUAAAUAAAUCAAUUAGUUAAUCGAUUAUAAAUCACAUAUGUGGGGCCCCACCAAAGUCCAUUUAUUUUGCAUGAUUUAAUUCCAAUAACUCCAUUACUUGGAAUUACGGAAAUGAAUUCUUGCUUAUUUUAAAACGUUUUAAAACGAAGGAGAUGUGGAAAUUAUUUGCUAGAAGGAAAGAUGACAACAAAAUUUUAUUGGAAAUGAGAUUUUUGAGUGAUCCUAAAAAUUCUAAAGAUGAAAAUUUGAAAAAUAAAUAAAUAAAUAAGAAUAAAAUAAAAUUAUUUGAAAAUCUAGAAAUUGGAAACUAUUUGAAAACGGGAAAUUUGGAAAUUAAUUUAAAAUUGAAGAUAAAGAAAUAAAUAGAUAAAUAAAAAAAUAAAUAAAGGACACGUGACUCAAAAUGUGGUCAUGCAUAGUUGCUUGUAAAUUGGACAGCCAGUUGCUUCUCAUACUCUCAGCGUCAAGAUGUUCCUUGAUGUAGUUGCCCCAUGUGUCAUCCUUAGCCGUGAUAAUGCAUGUGUUUUCAUCCCAAUUAAAGUCACUUUGAUCAAGAAGUGCCUUGAUAGUGACAUAUUGCAUCCUCAAGACAUCAUACCGAUUCCUCAGUUGGUCCUUAUCCAUGGAUUCCCGCGAAAUAAAUCUGUUACCAGAACAUUGUAACCAUUGCAUGCAACGCGAUAUGCGGAGUCCCUUGUGGAUGAAUUUUCGAAGCCAAAGGCAUCAAACAAGAGCAGUAUCCCUGCCAACUGCGUGUUCAUCCAGCCGCUCAAUCACGCCACUAACAUGGGCACAGCGGAAAGCAUCAACACAACCUUAAUUCCUCUCUUGUAGCUGUUUAGCAGAUCCAAGUCUGUACAAGACUUGAUCUAUGGCAACGUCAUGAGGAUAUAGCCGCGGGGUAGCAUAUGAAUCCAAUCAAUGGGAAAUGGGCAUUAGGAAUGGUGGUCAGGCUUUGCAUGAUUUCAUACACGUGAAUGAGUGAUGCUGGGACCUUCAUGGAGGCUUUGAGUGGAUCUUUGGGCGGCGGUGUAGAAAGAGAAAGGUAGCAGGAAGAAAAGAAUGGGUGUGGGCUUGGUGGUAUGAAACGUGUGGUGUUAAAGAGGAAUGUGGCGUACAUGAGGAAAGACAUGGUGAGUGGAAUGAGCUAUGGGCAUGAGAGAAAUAGAGAAAAUGGGUAUGAAGGUUAAUGAGAGAGAACGGGCGUGUGAGGGUGGUAAAGGAAAAUGGAUGAUGGAUGCACAUAGGUGGAAAUGGGAAUGGAUUUGAUAAAGCAUGAAGGUAGGAAUGGGAUUCGGGUGAUAUUAGAUUACCAUGCAUGGAGAAUGUAUACGUGGAGGUCUAUUAUGCAAAGGAACUAAAAACGGGUCAAGUGAAGGGCUGUUUAGGGAAUAUGGCAUCAGUUUCAGGUUGAGGGGAUGGGGCCCUUGGGCCAUUUGGCUACCCACAAGUAUGAUCUACAAAAUAGGGUCCUUAUGUCAGGGUCAACUUUCGGAUUUUUGCAAAGCUGAUGCUACCAAUUUAAACUCUGAUCAAUCAGUGUCCGCGAUCUUGAGUCCUUCAAGCUGAUGCAACGCGUCUUUAGGAAGGUAGAGCCUCCAAUGAAUACUUUAGAUUUCGAUUUUUGAACAAUCAUGGCAGAACCCUUCAUCGAUUGGCAUUAUCAUUACCCUGGGAUUGCAGCAAGAUGCAUGGAAGGCUUCUUCACUAUUAUCACAAAUGAGCAUAUACAAUAUAUUUUCUGAAUGACCACACGAUUUACAUGGUUGGGAUGAGUUGCUAUUCCCACUAACUCCCAGAACUUCAAGAAGCUCCUGACUCCUCAGUAUAGAAAUGCGUGUAAUCAUUACCCUCUUGUUUGGCAUGACCUGUGCAUACCCAAGAAUGACACCUACUAACCAACCAAUUGAUCCUUAUUGCAUUUAGAACUCAUCUGCAUCCCCUAGUCAAUUUCAGUUUCUGACAGUUAAACCAAAAAUCCCCAGUCUCAGCAAUGACAGUAGUCUCACUUGACAACAUUUUCUGUAUAUGCUGGAACAGAACAUAAACCCUCAAAGGCUCCUCGGGAUCAGACGUAGGAGACUGUCCCUCAGGAACGUAAACUCUAUGGUAGAACUCAUAGGCAGUGAUAUUGCAUUCGAGCCUCUUGGAGAAUGACUUGAAGAAAUCUUUCAUCAAAAUGCACCCAAGCUCAAGCCCAUAAGCACACCAAACACCAUUAUUGGGUUCGUUACAUCACCAUGCUACGGAGUUUAUACAACAGGAAGCUCUAACUGAUGAUGGUUCUGGUAGUGAUUUGCCAAUGGGAACUUGGCCAUCAAGUGAACCCGAUAUCAGAAGCUGAAGUUAUUACCUUGUACUCUUCUAUUCCCCCAUUAUCAGCAAUUCCAAUGGAAACAGUAGGAGAGCCUCAAGACUGUGUAUCCAUUCAAUAACUCUGUUUCUCAGUCAGGAUGCAAAAAACUCCCCAAUGAUUCUACAGCUGCAACCACAGGAGCCCCACUACUACCAGUUCCUUCACCCAUUCUGACAGCAACCAAAACCAGACCAAUGACUUGAACUUUAGACUUCCCCAAUCCAUUAAAUCCAGAAACCACUUGGAGUUAGAAACAUUUUCUACCUCAUCCUAGAACUUUCAGGUAUUUUACAAAGUAAUGGUCGGUAUUUUUCAAAAGCAAAAAGAAAAAAAGGUAAGACUCAAGAAACAGAGCAAACUCAGAAUUCGUUAAUCAAGACUCCAUCUCAUGCUGCACUCAAUGGAUCUAAACAGGUGAGACAAGCAGGGAGCAGUGGCAUGAUUAAUCAAUCUCAAAAAUAAUCCAUAUAUCGGUUAUUGACAGGAAAAAACAAAGAAAGCAGAAAAGAACCCAAACAGAGCAAAUACAAAAACAAACUCAAAUUCAGCAAAUCAAUCCACAAUCAAGAAAAACUAACAAUGCUCAAGUAGCCUGAGAAAAAUGAUGAAGAACAGUGAUAAUGAAAAAUACCCUAAAAAAAAGAACACGAUACUUCAUACCUGUGAAACUCCUCUCCGAUGAAGCUCACCUACCAAACCAAUCUGCUCCCAUCCUUGGCACUAGAACCCCUCUCCGUAGCAGCCUAAGCUCAAGGAAAUCCCUCUCCAGACCGAUCUCUUCUUUCUUCUCAAGUUCUUUUCUCCUCCUCUCAAAAUAUCUCUCCCUGAAAAACGGCAGCCAAAACCUCCCUCUGCAGCUGGCCUGCCCCCGUAACAGAAUACCCCCCUCUAGCUUUCUCACUACCCUCAAAAGCACCCUCUCUCUCCUGCAGCUGCAAGCCUCCACUACCCCCAUGCAGCUGGCAGCCUCUACUCCUCUAACGGCCAGCAGAUUCUCCUUCUAGAAAAUUCUUUCCCUUUUCCAGGUGUCUUUCCCUGAUUGGCCCAUCAAUUCCACUAUAGUGAUUCUACAGUGACCAAUCCUAAGAAGGCACGUGGCCUUAUGAGAUUGCGACACUUGGCAAACACAGGCUGCCAAAAAGUGAGCCCCCAAAUGGGGGUCUACAAUCACAUUUUUAUUUUCAAUAAGAACUCUAAAACUCAUUAAACUAUAAAAUGCAGAUAUACACUCUUGAGAGGACAAUAUGAAGAAUAAAAAGAAAUAAGAAAGAAGCAACAAGAUUUGGAUUUUUAGAUGUGACUCUUAUGUCAUACAUUAUACGACAUAAAUGUUAUUUUAUUUGGAAUUGAGAAUUGUGGGUUUUUUUAUGCAACUCUUGUGUCAUUUGGUUAGCCGGUUUUAUGCAUAUGAAACGUAAGUAUACAUGAAUGUUGGGAUGCUUAACAUUUCUAAAUCAUGUUUUAAUGUGUAUUCACUUUUCUUUUUUAGUUUUGGUGGGUUUGAUAUACUAUGUUUUGUGAACAUUUGAUAUACAAAUAUUAGUGGAUGAUGUAAUGUAUUAUAGGUUAAUCCAUAAGCAUAAAGAAAAUAUAAGUUAAAUGUAAUAUGAUUAUUAUAUUUAUGGACAAAAUUUACACACGUUGAUCUUAUUUAUUAAUAAGCAUUACAAAAAUCUAUAGGCUAGUCAACAAAAAACAACCAUAUCUUCUAUAAUCAUUUACAAUGAAGUGACACCAUAAUUCAAAGGUGAUGCAUUUAACGUGACAUCAUAACUCAAAGGUGAUGCAUUUAAUAUGACACCUUAUAUAUCUCACAUAACUCUAUAUCAAAUUAAGCAUCACUAAAAAUAUAUGGUGUCGCUUCUAAAUGCGUCACAAUUUAUCUGUUUUGGUGUCGCUUCCAAAUACGUCACCAAUUGGUACCCUCUAUGGUAUUGGUGGAUAAGGUGACGCUAUGUUGUAGCGACACCCUAUGUUUAGGGUGACUCGUUAUAAAUGUCACCAUAUAUGUUUUUCCUUGUAGUGUCAUUGGGAAGGUUUUUUCCAUUUUUUAGAGGGGUUUUCUAAAGGCUUCUAGGGUGAGGACACUGUUCUCAUAUUGGCUUUUUUUCCCCCUUUUUAGAGGGGUCUUCUAAAGGCUUCUAAGGUCAACUAGGAGAGCAUGUUGAUUGAUGCUUUGAUAUGGAUACCAGAUGCCACAUUUCAUCUUGUUGAACACUGGUUAGCUAUGGACUUGUUACUGCUUUACUCUUCUGUUUCGAGUUAACUUUGGAAAUGAAUCUGAAUAUAGACUAGUAUUUGCAUCUUGAUGUUUAGAGAAUCAUAUUUUAGUUGUUGUUUAAAAUUCAUUUUGGCAUGUUCGAUUGCUUCAAGCUCAUUUAUACAAUAAUGAAAUGGAGAUUUAUAUAUUUGUUAUUGGGUUGGCUCUCUGUUUGGUUAUCUUUAAGUUCUGCAUCUUUUCUUUUCUCGUUGCCUUAUCUUCUCUGGGGGGUGUCGUUUGAGAAAUACAUAGUGGAAAAAAUGGGAAGCUGAAGGCUUAUCCUGGCAUCGACCUCGCGUUAGGGAACGACUUGAUCGAAGAACAUAUGAAUUUUUCAAAUACCCAGAACUCACAUCAAAAGAAGCAUCGGAGUCAAGGUCAAACACAUCAUCUGACAAGGAAUAUACCUUUGCCUUUGGUGACUUUAUUGACUUCUGCAUGAUGGACAUCCGAGGGUGGGGACUGGAAGAGAAAUGAUGAAUUUGCCCAAGAUAGUUUGUCUAGAAAGGAACUUGUAUUAAAUGAUGAUUACCCACUAUGUCAGAUGUUGAAAUUUGGGUAUGACAACUCCUGGUGGCAUCAGAAAGAUGAGUUGCACAAUCCUUCUCACAGUUGAAAGCUUGACCUCCGAAGUUGGGCUUUUUCAUGGCCAGACAAGAACAGUGAUCACAAUAGUAUGAGCCAAGCCUGUCACGACCCAAAUUCUAGGUGAACUUAACCAUGACUCCAAAUCAAAGGUUUAAACUUAAAGGUUACAUCUAUUCAAUCUAGUAGUCAAUCCUGAUAACUUGAUUUUUUUUUCUUGAUAAAACAAUAUCUAAUCCCAAAUCAAUUUAUUAAGCUAAUAACUUGAUUUUUUUUCUCAAUAAAACAACAUCUAGUCCCAAAUUAAUUUAUUAAGCUAAGAUUUACUAUAUCAUAUUAUUUGAUUUUAUUUUUCAAAAAUCAACCAUUACACUAUCACUUAUUUGCAAGUAUAAUAAAUCUGUCAAACAUCUUAUCACCCAAAAUGAUAACCCAAAUAUUUACAAAAAAAAGUUUUACAAAUUAAUAAAAUAUAGUCUAAGUUAUAAAAGUUCUUAUAAAUUAAAUUAGUAUGUGCUAAAAUAUAAGAUAACUGAAAAAAAAAAAAAAAAAAAAAAAACCAUUAUUAUUAUGGUUCCUUAAAAACUAUAUUUGCAUCUAAAAAUUUUAGAAAAUAAAGGGAUGGACAUUUCCACAUUACUUAGUAAGGUAUUUUACACCCACACAAAUUAGAAAUUCUAAGUCAAUAAAACACAAUCAUAUAUCAAAGUGUAAUUUUACAUCUAAUGUACUACAACUAUAUACAUUUAAACUAAUCAAAAUUAUCACUAACCAUAAUCAGACUCCAAAUAAUACAAAUAACAUUUAUUAUCUCCCAAAAACAUAAUGUGUAAUUUUGUUUCCAAAGAAAAAUAUAAAAUAAAAGUUUUAGGGUUAAACCACCCUACAUCAAAUUUGAAAAUCUAAUUGUUAAAACUAAAAUCAGACUCCGUAAAAAUGUUCUUUAUGUUAAAUAGAGUGUUUUGCUAAAAUCUCAUGCAAAACAGAAUUCAUUUGGCUUGUCGGAUGACAACCCAAAUAUUUGUUGCACCUUCCUUGUUUCUUCUCUUCCUUUGUGUUUCCGUUUGCACUCUUCUCUCUACGGAUCUGGUAAAUAGGGUAGCCCCUGGUACGCUUGGGGCUGGAUUGAAUCCUAUUCGAACUAUAUCUAACUUGAUCUUGUCCAAGCUAGGAAGGUUUUUGGUCUCGAUGACAUUGGAAGUUUCAUCAUUGCUAAAGAAAGGGGCGGCCAAAAAGGCUUAGCGACGACCCUCUCUCGACUUAAAGGAAACGACUUGUCCCAUCCAAUGCCCUACUUUUAAGUGCUCGGUAUGUUCACUUAAUCAAAUCUAGAAGAAGCUUGGCCUCUGUAGAGCAUGAAAAGGCUAGUUUUGAAGCUUUUAAUCGAGGACUUAUUUGCCCUAAAGCCUGACUUCUUAGGAAGAGAAAUGGGCUUGACUUCUUCAUCAACCUCGGAAUCGCAUUCUAUCACACUGGUGGUACUUCUUGUUGAAUUAAAAGAUUGGAUGAGUCUUUUUGUACCCACCCGCCACCCCUGUUUGAGAGUGAUUAAAUAUCAUAACUUCCUUAAUGGACCUACGGACUAGCUAAGGUUUACUUACAUAGUUGUUCUUUCUUUUCUCAAUUUCAAGUUAAAGUUAGCGUUUUUCAGCUUACUGUUUGCUUUGGUUGAGUAGCCGCCUUAUGACCCUUUGCUUUUGAAUGAAAUCAUCUAGAACCUCUCAGAUCGGAUUCCAAUCACCUUAGUGAGUCUCCUAGGUGCGAAGCCAUUCUUUAAGCCCAAAACAAAAGGAGAAGUGAAGUCACUAUCUAGACAAAGGGGCUUGCCUACUUAUAAGGUAGGAGUUCACACCGGGGAAUCGCUUUCUUAAUUAAUUAAAAGCGAGCCAAACUCACCACCUCAUGUACCAAAGUCAAACGGUUGUUCUUCCUUCCCCGCUCCCUUUUUCUCUACAUAUGUGAUGGCGGGCAGAGCGCUCUAUAUGACCGGUGGUGGGUUACCAGAGAAGAUGGGACAACUUCUUUCUCUCUUGCCUUGCUCAAUCUUCCUUUUCUGAUUGAAAGUAGCAAGCCACACCACUACUGGUACAGAGGUCGGAUAGAAGGUUGCUUUUUCUAUAUGUUCAGGCGAAGAACAUCUACGGCACAGUCUUCGCCAAGCAAGAUGAUGUAACUCCUCAAAACAUAAAAAGAGCUCUUAUAUAUGUAAAAACAUGAUAUAUGUGUAAAUGAAUUAUAGCCAUUUUCAAAUAGAUCAGGAUCGUCAGAUGUUUGAAAUGGAAAGUCAAUUUUUCUAUAUGCAUGUAGAUAUCUAUAGGGGAUUAUAUGAAGGGGAUGUUAUUAUUUUAGAUAUAAUCAAUUCCCUUCUCGGAGCCCACUAAGAUCCGGAUCUCCUACGGAAAUGAUUUAGAAGAUCCAAAACCAAAAAUAGUGGUAUUUGCUAGCAACAACAUAAUGGAGGCAGUCAAUCAAUAUAUAUUGAUCUAAAAUCUGAUUCAAAUCCAAUAUAGCACCUAUGGGUACAUAAAAGAAAGGCAAGAGAGAAAAGAAGUCCAUACUUUUCAACAAAGCUUUAAGUGAGUAGGGGUGUAGCAGAUUCAUGCACGUCGAAUAUAAAUGCAGUUGGAUGAGUAGUCGCGGAUUCACAAUGCCGGUUAAAAAGCCAAUCUUAGGGUUGCAUUCACUCCCCUUCUAUAUCUUGCAUCUAUAGUAUUUUUGUCCUGGUGGAUCUCUUUAUCAUUUAAUAAAAGUUUGGAAUCUUGGGUUACUAAUUGGUGGAAUACUAGGCAAUCUAAAACUUUUUUGAAUGAUAUUCAAGAAAACAAUCAAUUUCCCAUCAUUUGCACUAUGAAUGGAAAUGAAAUUCUAGAUCUAGAAUCAGAUGAAUGUGCAACAGUCAAUUUCCUCCCUCACAACCUAAUUGUCCACUAAAAACAACCUUUUUUACUAUACGCUAUUUGGCCGCUAGAAGAACUUCAGUUCUUAUAGGUAAAUGCUCAAUACCCAAGUAGGCCUACAAAGUUGAUCAUGAUCAAGUGCUUUUUGGGUCGUCUUAGACCUUGCAAUAUCUCUCCGGCCCUCUAGCACUCUGUUAUGGCUCAAUCACUUACUCUAGUUCUGGAGUUCUAGGUCCUCUAGCUAUUAGUGCAGGUAGCUCUCCUUCUGGUAAUGCAUUAUAGGUUGUCUUCCUUCCACCUUCCUGUUUUCAAGAAAGCUUAUUUUCUUUCUAAGAAAAAUCAUACAAUCUCGUAUGAGAACGGGAUUGAUGGGAGGCAUAUGCUCCCAGGCUACACAAUGUCUUACAGGGCUUACCCAGUUAGAAGGUAUGUAACUAAAGUCUCAAGAGAAUUGAAAUCGACGAGAAAUCAGAAUCAAUGUUAGAGAUUAGACUUGGCAUGGAAAAAGGAGUAUAGUAAGAUGAUAGAGACCUCGCACGAGAUGCUUACUCGGAUUCAUGCCCAUAAAGAGUAGAAGAUUCAACACAAGUGCAAGAAUAGGUUUCACAGUUAAGAAAGGUUGAGAUUCAGGUGAGUGAGUGAGUCCUCACUGACUUGAGCGAUUUCGAUCACCUAGCAGUUUAUUUGGUAGGUAACAUCGCUAAAGCAUAUCAUCUGAUCUACAAAUGAAGGAAAUCAAAGUGAGACGACACCGUCCUCUGUAACGCAACGAUAGUUGGCCCUUUAUCAUCAACUAUUUGGUAGACUUGGUAAAAGAUGUAAGGCUUUAGCUAGUACACGAAAGUGCAUACCAUGAUUCUUCUGUCUAUCAAUAACUGCAUGCAUUGCACGAUGGAUGUGAAGAAGUAGGCCAUUAUCUCGACAAUAAUGAGCCAAGCUAGUAUUUGCAGUGAAUCCCCCUGUUAAGUAGUCACAUUAAUGGAACAAGAACACAUUAGCGUAUGAAACAGAGCUGAAAGCGCGAGUGCACAAUCUCAAAAACGGCAAAUUCACGUUCUACUUCCUCAAUCUCGAACUCUGUCUAUUGGGAUGAGCUCCCCUUACCUGCGCUAUUCUAUGAACGAACUUCCUUUAUAAACCAUAAAACUGGAACAAUCACUGUUCCAGGGUCUGUCUCAGAGUUCUAUCUCGUGCUUGACAUCAAUUGCAUCCAAACCUUUAAUCGGGUAUACUUUCCACAAUAACAAGCGAGUCAUAGUUAGGUAAAAGUUAUACAGAAAGAUGACAUCGUUGGCGAACUUGAAGCUAGUUAGGUAAAUCCCCUUAUAUUCUUCUUUCUUCUCCCAUAAGACAUUCCUUAUUAUUAUUAUUAUUAUUAUUUUCAUUUUCUCAAUUUCUUUAUCUUUUCAACUUUAAGACACCAUUUUGCACUUCUUCUUUUUUAUUAUAAUUAUUAUUCUUUAUCAACCAUACCAUGUUAAGAAAUUUAUUUAUUUUAAUCCAAAAAUCUACUUAAAUACAAUUUCAUACUUUUCUUAAUAAAUUAUAUAUAUAUAUAUAUAUAUAUAUAUAUAUAUAUAUAUAUAUAUAUAUAUAUAUAUAUAUAUAUAUUAUUUCUUAUUAUAACAAAUUUAAAAUGUCACAUGUAUCAUUUUUUUAAUAAAUCAAAUUAUUAUUCUUUAUUUCAUAUUCUACAAUUAUAAAUUAUACUCAAUAUAUGAUUUAUUGUCUUACGAAAAAUAUACUGCUAUAUUCUUAAUUAAAUUUAUUACAAGUCUACUUUUCAAAAAAAAAUUAAUUUGACUUUAAUUACUUGAAACAUUUUUAUUAUGAAAUUCAUUUAGAACAUGAUUUCAUUAAUUAUAUAUUUAAAAAAAAUCAAUUUUAGAAAAAAAUCUGAAACAUAAAAUAAUUCUUCAACAUCAAGAAGCUGAAAUUCAUAAUAAUAUUUAAUCCUUUAAUUUUACCAAUAUUUAUUUACCAAUAAAAUUUAAGCAAUAUUCUGAAAUUUAAUUCCAUUAGUUAUUUAGUCAUUCAAUUUAUAAAAUCAUAUUCUCAACCUUUGGUAUAACUUUUAUUUAAUUUACUUCAUUUGUCAAAUUUCUCAAUUGAAUCAAAAUUUCAAAAGUUAAAUUCACUAAAUUCAUAUUUAAUUAAUUUAGCCUUUUAUAUUCCCUAAAUUAAUAUAUCAUAAUUUACUCUUAAUGUAAUUUCAAUUCAAUUUUAUUUGAUGUUUUGUAAUUCUAUAAGGUUUAAUUCUAAUUAUAAAAAUUAUUGAUUUCUUAUAAAAUUAAAUUCAAUUUCUUUUUAAUUAUCCAUUAUAACAAUUUGAUAUAAUCUAAAUUUUUAUCAAGUUUUUCUUACUACAAUUCUCUAUAAUUAAAUUAAUGGUCAUAAUAUACUUAAUAUUCAAUUUUAGAGACUAUAAUAUCAAUAAUUAUUUGAUGGUUGAAUUUUUUUCCAAAUUUAAAUUUAAUUUUUGAAAUUCCUACUCUUUGCAUAUGACGUGAUGGAAUUUUUAUACUAUUGACUUUUUAUUAACUUUUUCAAAAAAUUUCUUAAUUAAAUAUUAACACGGGGAUUUUCGUCAUUCUUUUUUAACAUUUGACUAAUGAUUUUAUGAUAACUUUAAUCUGACAUGUCAUUAAAAAUCCGGUUGUUAUAGAGCCAGUCAAAUUAAGCCUGUUAUCCGAGGAGUGAAGCCACUGCCUUGUUCUAUCUCCGAUGGCCUGCUCAGCUCCUUCAACCCCCAUCGCUCUCCUCUUUCCAAGUUCUCCAUUUUCAGUUUAGAGCCAACAAGGAUCGCAGAAAUCCUUAAAGAUUGACCUACAUGGUAUCGUGAGUACCGCGAUGUGGAUGUUCUUAAUGUGUUGUCUACUAGAGCCAAAUGGGUGUUUGAUAAGACCCAGUGAAGGUGUAAAAAUUAUAUGACGAAGCUUGCAGAAAGACUUUGAGUUGAGGGAAGGCAUCUCAACGAAGUUGGGCUUUUGUAUUGUGAAUCUGGCAAAUUACCUAUACUGCAUGGAUCAUCACUCUUUUAACGUGGAGGUACACAGGUCCUUUGCAAUGUGACACUUGGGGCACCACAUCAAGCUGGUGAUGCUCAACGACUGGCUUCUCUGGACGGGUCCUCCAACAAAGCGCUUCAUGCUUCACUGAAAUUUCCCGGAGUUCUCAAUUAAUGAAGUUGGCCAACUCCUUAACCUGCACUGUUCCGCAGCAGUCACAUAAAGAUUUGACAUUGAAAUUGAUCAGGUUUUUCCUCUGCCAAUGGUGGUGGGCGCGCUUUGUAUGUAGAUUCCGAAGGAACUUCCAACUUGAUGGCUGUGAGUGGUAAGGUUGGAGAAGAUACUACUGGGUCUGCCCCAUUAGUUUUCCAUUGUUAAGGUAGUUUGGUGCACAGCUUCCUGGAUCAUCUACACCACGAGCACCUCCAGCCGCCUGUUUUGAUCAGUUUCUGGAUUUCCAUCUCCAAAUUGUGCAAGCAGUGACUGAUAUGGUGUCCAUACAAGCGGCUACUGAAAUGGUUCAAACCCCAAAUGCUGAAGGGAAAGGAGCUUUUGGAAAAUAUCAUGAAGAAGACUCACCCAUCUUACAUGAAAUUAUACACAACUCCAUGGACCAGAACCGGAACCCAGACUUAAAUUUGUCCAAGAGAAGAUCAGUGUAAUACAAGUCAACUGCAGUCAUUCCUGAAAGAAGUGAUGAGAAGAGUAAACCUGGAAAAGCAGUGAGUGAAACAAGUUUUGUGACAUUGAACAAUUUGCAGAUGGGUGUUCCCACAAGCUCCUCUCCCCUCUUCCUACGUGCAUGAAAUUCCUACGUGCAUGGCCACCUUCUUAGGUGUGCAAUUCUGCGCAUAAUUCUCAAGCGUACUAUCACCCUCUUCUUUUUUGAAAAAUUGAUUUUAAAUUUAAAAUUUUGACAAAUUCAUUUCCCUUUUAAAAUCCCUCAGUAAUUCUCUUCAAAUUAAUAAAAUCUAUUUUCAAAAAAAAUUUGCUGCCAUUUUCCUUUUGGCAUAGACCUUUUUCUAUUUUCUUUGAUUUUUAAUCAUUUUCCAAUUUUUUAAUAAAUAUGAAUAAAUUCUAUGUUUUUAAAAAUAAUGGAAUUUUGUCCAAAUUUCUAUUAUCUUUUUCUCCAUGAUCAUUAGAAAGAUGAAAUUCCUAAAAUUAAUUCAUGCAAAUAAAUUGGACAUUGGUAGGCCCAACAUAUGAAUUUUUCUCCUUUGAUUAUUGUUUUUAAUUGCUACACUUGAUUGACUAAUGAUUGAUCUCUGUCUUGCUCUAGCAUACAUGAGAUUAUUUUGUGCUUGUUAUUGUACACUAACCAUGUUUCUCACGAAGCGCUCAACUUAUUCUCAAGUACGUUCUUUCCUUUUCCUAUUCGUUUAGUUAUAACCAAUGUUUUCAAAAUCGGACCGAUCAUUGAAUUGGAAAAGUUACUGGUUCACGGUUCACUGGUCGAAUCGGCGGUCAAAUCACGGUCAAACUAGUGAUGUCAUAAAUAUAUAAUUUAUAAAUUAUUAAAAUUUAAAAUAAUUAUAAAAAUAAAAAUAAUAAUUUAUAUAUUAUUUAAAAAUUAAAAUUUUAUUUAAAAAUUAGAAAAUUAGUUUCAAAUUAGAAAUUAAAAUUAAAAUCAUAAUUUUAAUUUUAAUUUUCAAAUUUUCAAAUUCAUUUUUAAAUAAAAAAAAACUUAUUUUAAAAUCAUGAAUUUAUUUAAAAUUAUAAUAUUUUCAUUAAUUUAAAUUAAAAUCAUAAGUUUUAAACAUCAUGAAAUAAAAAAUAAUAAAUAUAAAAGAAAAUAAAUUAUACUGAAAUGAGGUAAAAAAUAAUUUAAAAAAAUGGAAAAAGAGAGGAGAGGAACAAGCAAAAAAGGGUUCCAACAGGGUUUUGGGGGGUGGGGUUUCCAUUUCUAGCGCCAGGUGGGGGCCCUUCCGGUGGGCCAAAAGGGGAAAAGCUUUUUGGCUUUUCCAGUGCAAGGGGUGCCGAUGGGGUGGGGGGUUCCAAUGGGCAAGAAGAGCUCUUCCAGCGCACGCGGGUAGGAGUGGCGACAAUGGGGAAAAAAAAAAAGUUGAACCGGAUGGUUCCAUCCGAACCGUCCGGUUAGUCGGCCGAACCACCGAUUUAACUAGUCCGACCACUUUCCAGCCCAAUUGACCAAACCAGAUUGAAACCGUGACCAGCCGAUCCAAUCCAAUUUUUAAAGCCAUAAUUAUAGCUCAACCAUAACACAUCAUUGAUCAUUACUUGGUAUUUGUUGACUUUUUGAUCAAUUGUCAUUCUUAUAUUAACUUGAUUAUUAGAGACCUAAUUUUAGGGUAUAAAGGGGUAUUACGAUUUAUCAUCCUACCUUCUCAACAAGUAACCUGACCCUUGAACCCAGACUUGGUUUUUCAUAAACCCGUAUUUUCCUUUCAAGUUUCAUACUUAGAAUUUUUUUUUUUCCAUUUAAAAAUAAAAUAAAGAUACGUGGCCUAAAACCAUUUUCAUCAAUCCAAAGUGAGUCUUGUCUUUUUUUUUUUCAAGUAAGGACACGAUCACAGGUCUACAAUACUAUUUUAAUAUAUAUAAUGAAAUAUAGAUAUUAACGCCAUCUUAAAGAUAUAAUUAAAUUUUUUGUUUAAAAUAAAUUAUAAUAAUUUAAAAAUAAUAUUUUAUUUAAAAUAAAUUUUAGAAUAAGCAAAGUUGAUAUGUGGACAUAGAGAAUCGUGAACCAUUGUAAAUGUAUUGAUUAUAUCUCUUUCUUCCCAUUUCAUUUUUACUUUAGUUUUUAUUAUUCGUAUCUUUUUCUACUAAAAUUUGAAAAAGAAAUUCACAUUCACUUCUUCUUGGGUGUAUAUCAUAGGAUUCAAAAUGUUUUUAAAAAUUAUUAAAUUUGUUAAUUGUGACUAUAUGCUUAUUUAGGAUCCAUUGAUCUUAAUAACUUUCUUCCCGAUAUAGGAAGAAAAUGACUAUUCCAUUAAUGCAGCAUGCAUUGCUGCUUAUUUAUCAAGCAAAUUACAUUAUUAUUUUCACACCAAACCUCCAAAUUCUCCAUGCAUAUACGCAUCCUAUACUGCAUGGCCAACUUCAGAGAGCUAAAACAAGCUCUUAUUGAAUACAUGAUAGAUAAUGUCCCACUGACCCUUUUACUCUGAUACCCUGAAAUGAGAAAUUUGGAGGUUUUCCACAUCAAGCUUCUUGAAAUUACUGCGCCUUCUCGUAACAAAGAACUUUCCCCAGUUGUAUGCUCUAUACUUUGGCUUUUCCCCCUUCGUCAGCUCCUCCAAGGGCUUCACCCAAACAUGGUGCCCGGGACUCAAAACGAACGGAAUCGAGAACCUUUCCCUCUCUGAAUUCACCAUCACCCUGUGCUCCACACUUUCAUAAGUAUCGUUGCUCCAGACCUGGUUUAAUAUCAGUAGAAUUAACCAAAUGAGUGAAAAAUUCCUUGAGCCAAACACUACUGAUAAGCAUGUACUUGUAAUUCAAAGUUCUUGGGUGGUACCUGAACUAUAUCCCCAACAUUGAUGAUAUAAGCAUCUGGGGUGGGCUUAACUCGAACCCAUUCUCCAUCAGUUUUUCGCUUUACUUCCAACCCUCCAACAUCAUCCUGAGCAAGGAAAGUUAAGGCUCCGGAAUCCUUGUGGCGACCAAUGCCCAGAGCUAGGUGAGGAAUGGAGCAAGGUGGGUAGUGAUUGAGGCGGAUGAAGUUUGUUGAUUCUUCAAAGAGAAGAUUGAAUCUGUUCUCUGGCAAACCUAAGCUCAGAGAGAGGAGUCCCAACAGAUUGACAGCUAGUUUUUCCAUUUCUCUAGCAUAUUCUUCACAUACCUCCCUGUAUAAAUCAGCUCAAUUAGAACAAAAAAACUUAAGUAAUUCACUGUAGUGACUGUGCCUUAGCUGGUGGAAUUUGUACCUUAAUUCAGGAGGGUACUGAGGCCACUGAUUGAUCAGCUUUUCGAGCUCCUUGUCGUCAGGAUUAGGCGAAGCAGGGAUGAAGGCGGGGGAUGACGCCACGAUAUCAAAGACUUCCUUCCAGUCCCUAACGUUCUUGGUAUGCUCAGUAUCGAAAUACCCAAAAGGAUUCACCUCAUCUCUACUCACCUUCCUCUUCUCCUCCAAUGGCAGAGCGAAGAACUUCCUCGCCGCAUCCUCAAUUUUACGACGAGACUCGGAGGGCACCCCAUGGUUGAUGACUUGAAAGAAGCCCCAGUUCUUGCACGCAUCAGCUAUUUGAGAAACAUGGUUGGAAGCAUUGGCGGAAGAGAGAUCAAUGAGGGGGAUGCCUUCAGCUUCGAUAACAGCGAGCUUAGGCCUAUGUUGGGUGUCUUGGAUGAAAGCUGGAUCGACCUCUCCCAUGGCUGUGGUAGUGGUUAGAACUUAGAACUUAGAAAUGGCGGUUAUGCACUGCUGGUGUUAGCUGCACGUGAAGAUGGUGAGGGGGACUUGGCCACUUAGCAGGUGGUUUUUGUAGUGUAGUGGGGUUGGUUUAGUACAUUGAACCUGGACAUAAUUGGGGUUACGUUUUAAGUUUUGGUUGGGGGUGUGGGCUCAUGGGUUGCGCAAAUGUCAAUGAUAAUUGGUCAAGUGAUACCAAGUUAUUUCCAAAAUCUGCAGCCGCAAAGGGUAUCUCUCUCGAUGAUUUUGGCAACGUACAGCACUCUCCACAUUCAAAUGUUUGAUCAAAGAUACGUUUUGUUUAGUGUCGUGUAUAUUUUCGAAUUAAUUACUUCAUAUUUAGGGAUACGUUUUGUUGAGUAUCGUGUAUAUUUUCGAAUUAAAAACUUCAUAUUUAGGGAAAAGUGUGCUUCAAUACGCUAAUAUAAAAAUAUCAGCAAAAUAAGAUCCUAAUUUUUCAUAUUUUAAGGUUUAUAAUGCAAUUGGAAAUUAUUUGGAGAAUUAUGCAUUUUCAGCUCAUGUGUAUUUCAAAUCCAAAAUGCUCUCCACCUUGCCAGCCAAGUCUUACACGUUGAAAGUAAAGAGAGAAAAAAUCUUCAAAAAGCCACCAAAACCAAUUUCUCUUUCUUUUUGAGUUAUUUGAUUCAAAAGAUCAAUAAAAUCCAAUUUUUAAAAUUUAACCCUUUGUUCUUUUUUUUUUCAUUUUGAUAAAAAUAUCUUUACCAUUUUCUUGUAGAAAUAACAUUUUUUUUAAACCUAUAUGUAAAUACUUGAAAUGGUAAGAGACGUGUACAUUAAAAAAAAGUUAUUUUUCAAGUAAAAAUAUAGAAAGGAUUAUUUCAUCCCUUUUAACCAAAUAUUUAACAUGAUCAAGGACUAUUCCCUAAAUGAAGGCAUACGGUAGCAAAUACCCUUAAUCUAAACAUUAAAAGUACAACUUAUCUAGUAUCAAACACUCUGUUUUAAAACCCAUAGCCACUCCAAAUAUCCCAAAUAUUCUUUUCUAUGCAACCUCUCUCUCUCUCUUUCUCGCACAAACACACUAAAAUAUUUUCUCAAACUUGGAUUUUUCUCCACAACUCAACCCUAACUUCCUUUCUAUUUGUACCAAGGCUAGAGAAUAUAGUUUAUACUUGUAUUCCUUCAUGUACCAAGCCCACAAGAUGAUCAAUAAGUUUCUCUCUAGAUUUUACAUUGGAGUUGAUUGAUGAUAGUACCCUUAUUAGGUAGUAUAUUAUCUUCCUUAGGUACUGCUUUUUCCAUCCUUAGAUACUACCUUUGUAACCUUGGGUGCAUGAUUGAAUCCAUUGUUUCAUGGCUACUUCAAGUAAGUCAGGAACUUAUGUACAUGUGUGCUACAUGUCUUAUAGAUACUAAAUUUACAUUCUUUAGGUACUACCUUUACCUUCCAUGGGUACAAAUACGGUUAAUGAUAAGAAUUUUAAUAUAAAAAAGGGAAAAACCCUGCUUGAUAAUAAAAUUGCAUAUAUUUUCUUUCUUUCUUUCCUUUUUGAUUGAUUUUUUUUUUUUUUGGUCUUUGCUUUGGUUUUUAUUUAUGUCUUUGUUUCUUUUAGUCUUUGUGUGUGUGUGUUUUAUUUUAUCUUAUUUUCAUCUCUAUGCAGAAGAUGUAGAAGAAACAACAUCACAUCAUAAGGUGCAUUUUUCCGUUCAUUUAAGACUAAAGGUUUUGGAUUCACAAAAUGGUGGGAACUAAGGGUGAGAAGCUGGAAAAAUGUUGGAUUGAGCUACAUUUGAUCAAUGGUGAAUUUGCAAAAAAGAUUGUAGGAGAGUGUAGACCCUCAAUUUUGUCCCUUUAGCACAUGUUUUAAAGUCCAUUACCAAUACUUUACAGUAAUCUCUUGGUAGCCCAUAGCUACUCACGCUACUUACCUUUCUUGAGCCACCUCGGAGACUCUAGUUGAGGGAUUGCCUAACCCCUUAUUGUGACCCUUGGCAGUUUUGAUUUAGACUUAAGGUUUUCAUUCCUUCUUAGGAUAGCUCUUAGGUGCACUUUUAGGUCCACUUAGGCAUCACCCUUGGCUAAUUUAGACAUUUUGGGCCCGUUUAGACACCUUAAACUCGCCUAGAUUCACCUUAGACCCGCUUAAGCACUUCAUUGGGGCUCAACAUUUUUAUAUAAUCUCUUGAUCAUUAUUGCAUGCAUUUGAUGAUUAUAUUUUCUUUGUUUAUUCAUUUAUUUGUUUGUUUAUUUAUUCAUCCAUUUAUUUAUUCAUUUUUUAAUUUCUAUUACGUCUUGUUUUUUUUUUUCUUUCUUUCUUUCAUUUAUUUACCUACUUAAUAGAGAAUUGUUUAGAUAUUAAAUAUGCAUACAACCCCCUUAUUGAAUGAUGGAAUUGUACAAUCUGAUAUCUCAUUUUCUCUUUCAUUUUCUUUUAAUCGUAUUUCACUUUAUUACCAAUUUCAUGACUUUCAUUAGUUGCUUCUCUUUUCCUUUGAUUUUUUAAUCUUAUCUUAUUUUGUUUUGCAUAAGGAGCACCAUCUUGGGGAGUACAAGAGGAUCUACAUUACUGGUUUGAUCAACAUAUGUUUGAGACUAAAAGCCUUCAAGAUGGCAAAAGAUGGUCAUCACAGCCCCAUGCUUCUUCUUCCCAUCUCUCAUAAUUGAAGCCUCUGUACAAAACUUCAUCAUAUCCUGAACAAUAGCAGCCACAGCAGUUGCAGCCACAGCAGCUGCAGCCACAGCAACUGCAGCCACAACAGCUGCAGCCACAGCAGCUGCAGCGACAGCGGCAACCACAGUUAAUGCUGCAACAGCAGCCACAGCAGCAUAGACUGCAUCAUCCAGUUCAACCUUCAUUUGGUCAUUUAUCAGGGUUGCAGCCCCAACUAUUUAAUCCCCAUCUUUCCCCAGCUCCACUCAUCAUGAACAAAUAUGAAGCAAUGCUUGGGAUAGGUAAUCUGAGGGAUCAAAGACCCAAGUCAAUGCAAAAAGGUAGACCAAAUCAUCGGGUUUCUCAACAGGGCUUGGAUACUAGCAGUCGGAAGAGUGAUGUUGGUGGCCACAGUUCAGAUCCAAGUAUAUGACAGCUGAUGAAAUCGAAAGUAUCCUUAGAAUGCAACGUUGCGGAACAGAUGGAUGAGUAGAAAGGAAAAUAGCAUGAAAAUAGAAAGGAAGUGACCACUUUGUGCACAACACGCAUAUAGUGGGCUGUAAGGGGGAUUCUUUUUUGUUUAGAAAGAAAAGUCAACUUGUAUCACUUACUAAACGAGAUGUGGCUGCAUCCUUGAGGGAAUCUCCCAAUGAGCCACCAUGUAUGCACUUUCCUUAUCCAUGUGCAUUGAAAAAGGAUAUAGAAUAUUCAAUAGAGGAAAGGUGCUGCCAUAUAGAAGGAAGGUGCUGCCAUAUAAACAUGUCACAGAGAGAACACACGGUGGACUUUUCUUUUGGGAGCAGAAAUUCACAUACAAAAAGUAAUCUUUUUUAGAGGAGAUGAACACACGCAAGAGUUUUUUUUUGGGAGCGGUAGAGGACCUGAACGACUAAUUGGGCUGCCAUUUUGACACAUCAAGAAAGUAUUUUUCCAAUACAAUACAGGUUAGUUUUCGAUUUUUGAUACCGUAUUUCCUUUUUUUUUUAGUUUGGGUUUUAGUUGUUUGGUUUAAUUAAUUGUUUGUGAUAAAUUCUUUUAAAUCUCGAUUUCGAACAAUCUUUUAUUUUUCUUAUAUUAAAUGUCUAUCUUUUAUGAUUGCAAUUCAUUAGUUCUAUGCUAGUUUAUUUUUAAUUUACAUGAAAGUUUAAAUAAAGUUUAUAUUUUUAAUUCCAAUUAGUUUAUUUUUAAAUUUGAAUGAGUUAUCGAUCUUAAUUAUUUAGUUUAAUUGACCUUGUGAGAUAAAAUUUAUAUUUUUAAUUCUAAUUAGUUUAAUUUUAGUUUAUUUUUAAUUUGAAUGAGUUAUCGAUCUUAAUUCUUUAGUUUAAUCGACCUUGUGAGAUAAAAUUUAUAUUUUUAAUUCCAAUUAGUUUAAUUUUAGUUUAUUUUUAAUUUGAAUGAGUUAUCGAUUUUAAUUCUUUGGUUUAAUUGUCCUUGUGAGAUAAAAUUUAUAUUUUUAAUUCCAAUUAGUUUAAUUUUAGUUUAUUUUUAAUUUGAAUGAGUUAUUGAUCUUAAAUCUAUUAGUUUAAUUGGACUUGUAAGGUAAAGUUUAUAUUUUUAAUUCCGAUUAGUUUAAUUUUAGUUUAUUUUUAAUUUGAAUGAGUUAUUGAUCUUAAAUCUAUUAGUUUAAUUGGACUUGUAAGGUAAAAUUUAUAUUUUUAAUUCUAAUUAGUUUAAUUUUAGUUUAUUUUUAAUUCGAAUGAGUCAUUGAUCUUAAUCUAUUAGUUUAAUUGGUCUUGUAAGGUAAAGUUUAUAUUUUUAAUUCCGAUUAGUUUAAAUUCUAGUUUAUUUUUAAUUUGAAUGUGUUAUCGAUCUUAAUUCUUUAGUUUAAUCGAUCUUGUGAGGUAAAGUUUACAUUUUUAAUUCCAAUUAGUCUAAUUCUAGUUAUUCAUGUGUUUCUUGAAAUCUAAAUGUUAGUUUUUGAAUGAUAAUUUUGUUAGUUUGUUUGAUUAGGAAGUCAUAAAUUUGUUGUCUUAGUGAUUGUUGGUCAAUUUUUUUUUAGGACCACUGGAAACCCAUGAAGGUUGGCCUUUACUCUCACCACUUUAAUUGAUAAGAUUUUCUAAAAUCUUUAUUUCGUGAUCUUUGUUUCCUUUUGUUUUGAUUGAUAUUUUGUUUUCUAUUUUUGUUAUUUUAAAAAUUAAUUUCUUUUAUUUUAAAACAAAACUCUUUUUCUCAAAAAAACCCUUUUUAAAAUUUUUUUUUUAUUAUUCAUUUAAAGCCUCUAGAAUCAAAAUCUAUUUUCUUUUUUAAAAAAUAACAUGCAACCAUAUCUUAAUCAGUUUGCAUCCUUCUCAAUUUUCAACAAAAAUAUCCUUCUCAAUUUUCAACAAAAAUUUUGGUUUUAAACAAAACGCGAAUCAAAGCUUGUGGUCCCAAAUAAAUGGAACAAUUUUAGGCUAAAUUCAUGUAUAUUAAUUUGGGGAAUUGGUGAAACCCCUACAUAAGAAAAUCUUUUCAAAAUUUACUUUUGCUACCACCCUACUAUUUAUCAUAAUCAUAUUUACUUUUUUUCUUUUUAGGAAUUGUAUACAAGAUAUGUAUGAUAAUUAAUUAUUCCGAGUUCUGAUAAUUUUUGCUAAUUAAUUAGAUAAGCAUGCUAGGAUUUAUUAUUUAUUAUCUAUUAUCUAUUAUCUAACCCUCAUGUUCUGAGGAAGUGCAUUAGGAGUUAUAUAUGCUAUCCAGGUACGUUCCCAAAAUCUCAUGAAUAUGCAUGUCAUUACCCUUGUUUGAUGCCAUACUUGAUUGCCUCGAUGCUUGUUUGAUCAUCCUUGAUAAAAUGCAUGUCGUGUGUCAUAUUUCUGAAUUAACCAUUGAUGUUUAAUGAUAGUGCUUAAGAAGUGGUUCAGGUACGCACCCUAACUCUCCUUUAUUGUGAUUGAUCUCCUUAUUUAGCAUGCUACUUUCUGAAAAUCACCUAGCUUACUUAAGUAUCCAUAAUUAAUCAAUUAAUUGCCUCAUUUCCCCAAUUUAGUCAGUAAAGACCUCUUUAGGGCUUAGAAGGGUGCUACCUCCUAGAGGUACCUUCCCAAUAAGUAACCUGAUCCCCGGACCUAGACUCGGGUUUUUCAAAGACAUGUUUUUUUCAAAAAUUAUGGAGUCACAUUUUAGGGUUUUUCUUUCUUGUUUUAUUUUCCCUUUAAAAUAAAAAUAAAAUAAGUGGCGGCUCCAACUUUUCCAAAACUAAAUAAUUUUUCACAAAUAAAAAAAGAGUCUCGCCAAUCGAGUGGGGACGCAUGUGAAAAAUGCAGGUCCACAGAGAGGUUUCUUGAGGUGGACAAGGUCAGAAGCAAAGAGCCUUUCCCUACUUUUUGGGGUUGGUUCCUUGAGUUCUUAGGAAGAACUUAGUUAACGUGUGAAUUCAUUCAGGGUAAUUUAUGUAAGAUUUUCUAGAUUUUGCAAGUGAAUGCACCUUAGCUUUUCCUAUUGUAUUUGUGUUUUUUUAGGUUGAUUAUUUUAUUGAUUGUCACCACUCAAGGAAUGGAAGCAAUAGGGUCUCUAGAUGUAGUGCCUAAAGGCAAGCAUACAGGCGUUGUUAGGAGUGUGCUUCCCAUGUCCAACAAGCAUAUUGACACCACCCAAAGCCAAGGCAUCUUUGGACUAGGAGUUCUAGCUUCUACUUAUGUGGACUUUGUAGAUGCAGUCUGGCUCUUCGAAAUAUUUAUUGUUAUGUAGUAGUUAUACACAUGUACUUUGUUUAAGUGAAUUGAUUUUUGGAUUUUUACUUAAAUCAAAUUUAAGGGUAUGUUGUUUAAUUUACUAGAGAUCUCUUGUUUGUAAUUCUCGUUAUCAUAUAUAGAUCUUUGUUAGUAUUUGCCAAUUUCCUCAAUAGCAACUGUAUUAGUUAUCAAUGGAAUGAAUCUUGAGUAACUUGUAGUAUCAUUUUUGGUUUUGAAUUGGCUAAUCUUUUUUGGAAGAAUGAAUUAGAUAUAUGAGCUUGAUUGCAAGCAAUAGUUGAGUUUGUUUUGAUCUUGGGGUAUUUGCCUUAUUGAUAGGACAUAGAUUUUGGGUCCAAAUAGUUGGAAAUUGAUGAGCUUAACCAGGACAUAGAUUUUAUCCCCUUGGGAGAACCACAACACUAACCAGUGUUCCUACAAAAGCUAAUAACCAUGAUUUAGAAAUGUGAUUUCCCUAAAGGGAAGCAUUUCUAAUCUUAUUUGAAGGGAAACUUUGAUGUCUUCCUUAAUACACUAGAAUAUUAAUUUAAAAACAACAAUUAAGGUUAUAUUAACUAUUAUAAUAAUUUAUAAAUUACAUAAAUAUGAUAAUAACUAUUAAAAUAAAAGUAUUAAACAUAAAAAUGUUUAAUUCUGUUGGGUAAAAACUUCAUAAAUAUUUUAUUAUUGAACUUCUAUCAUAUGAUCAAACAUAGUGAUGAUCCUUAGUUGGAUUAAUUAACACUUGUUUCAUAAAUUGAACAACAUAUAACAUGAUCAAUAAACAAACAAGUAAACAUCAUACUAGAUAAAACUAUCUCUUAAGAUUUCAAUUAUUACAUGUUUAAAUUACAAAUCAUAUUUUUGCAACUUUCGUAAAGUUAUGCAAUAGAUAUAAUUAAAAUUAUGAAACAUUGAAAAUGUAUAUUGAUUCAUUAUUCAAAUUCAUCAUAUCAUAUAUAUACUUUAGUUGUCCAUAAGAUCAAAUAAUAACCAAAAUUCGAAAAAUAUGUUUUAUGAUCCAAAAUUGAUUGACACUAAUAUCAAUUGUUACAUAAACUUUAUGUGAAAUAAUUAUUUUGGAAAAUCAAUUUGGAUGCAUAAAGCAUAAUAGUUAUAAGAAAUAAAGAAAUGACAAAAUAAUAAUUAUAUUUUUGUCUUAAUCCAUGAUACCGAUAACACUUUUAAAGUGAGUUCGAGUCACUUUGUGAAUUGUUGGGUCAAGGUAUUCAACUCAUCAUUCUCAUUUAGUAGAUGAGACAAUUGUGUGGUAUAUGUUGUUAUAAGCAAAACAACUAAAAACAUAAGAAUACAAUACAACUUAGGACCUUAACUUUAAAAAAAGAUUUAUAACUCUUAAUCUUCUCAUAAAAGAUUAUAUGAGAGUUAUACUCAUUAUUUUUAAACAUUAUAUAUAAAUUAAUGGACAAUAGUAAACUACCAACUUGAAUACAUUCAUGUAAUUAUAUAAAUUACACUUUUUCAUCUUCCUCUAUUAGUCAUAAACUUUAUAUAUAAAUUAAAUCUCAUAAUGAUGGAGUUACAAAAGUUGUAAUACCAUAUUCGUAUAAAUGAAAAUUUUCUAACUCCAUAUUUAUAAUUUUAAUUUUCUAUGUUAGAAGUUGAAUUUGUUCCACAUCGCCAAGUUACCGGGUUAUUAUGUUGUUUAUAUAUGUGGAUUGGGCACCCUCUCCCUUUAAGCAAGCUUUUAGGGAUGAAUUAUAUUCAAACCCAUUUAACAUGGUAUCAGAGCUUGGUUUGACUGGGGGUCGUGGGUUCAAGCCACCUCUUCGCAAUUCGUAUGUUUGUUCCUCAUUUGCAUGUUUGAAAGUCUAGAAAAGGGUAUUUGCAUUUGUUUGUUUGUCCCUUCACGUGUGGAUAUGGGGCCACACAUAAGAUAUGGUGUUAAAAAGCAUGAAAUGUAUAUUGAACCCAAAUCUUAUAAGUUUAAGCUUUUAGGAAAAUUAGUAAUUCAACAUUCUAUACAUAAAAUUAUUUGAUGUCCAAUCAAUUGAUUCACCUACCUAUCAAUUAAUAUACUUUUAAAUAAAAUAUAUUUCAAUCCAUUACACAAAUAUAAUUAAAACAAAGUACUAUAAUAAUAUGAGUAUGUGACAAAUAAAUAAAAUAAAAAUAAUCACAUGUUACAUGUAAACUAUAUUCAAAGGAAAAACCACAAGUCAUCCCCACUAUUAAACAAUCCAUUGUAUAAUGAUCAAUUACAAAGACCAAGUAUUACCAAACUUAAAAGUAUCUAAAUCAUACUCACUUUGCACAUUUUCUUUAUACUUGGAUCCUUUAAACUCAUUUAUCCCAAUGUGGAAGCAUCUUGAGUUCUAAUCAAGGAAAUCAACCUUUACUUCAUCAAGUUAAAGUCUCUUUAUAUCAUUGACAACCAUAUCAAGAUUUCUUUUGUUGGUUGCUUUCAAAGUCCCACUAGAAUUAGAUUGAAAUUUUUAUAAUCUCUAGAACUUUAACAUAUUAAUUCUUCAAUGAGUCAAUCAAAUAUUAAGUUUUAUCUCCAUAGAUGGACCUCAAUGAAUUUUUCGACAAAGGUGUUAACACUAAUUUCAUAUUAGUAAAAAAAAAUCAUGUGACACAUAUUGAUAUAUAUAUAUAUAUACUAAUUUCAUAUUCAUAGAUUGAAUUCAUGAGAAAAUUAUUCUUAAUUUUGUAAAAAUUAUAUAUAUAAGAAAGUUUUUAGGCUUACUAAAACACAUUACUAACCAAGUGGCAAUAUAUUUAUAAUUUAGGUCUCAUUAUUUUGUAAUCAAGUUUCAUUCAUUUGUAUCAUAUAUGAGUCCUAUUAUGUCAUACCUUACUCUUAUUACAUUGUACUUUGAUCUUAUUUGUUUAAACAUCGAUUUCAUUUCUUUAUAUGUACAUCACAUUUAUUUAUAUCUCAAUCUUAAUUAUUUGUAUCUUUAUUUAACAGUUUAGAUUUCAUUACAUAUUUUUAAAAUUUUAAUUUGAAAUUCGAUAUCUUAGUAUUUUUCUAAAAUAGCUACCUAUAAUCCUUGUAGAGUACUCAAAAUUCACUCCAACCCAUAAAAAAAAAUGACCUCUCUUCGUAAGUUGCUAUACUCAUUGCUAAACUAUAAUUCCAAAAUUAGCAGAACUUUUCAUACUUAUUCUAGGCAAUUAGAGUUGAGAUGUUCCGGGCAUAUACCAUAUUCUUUCAAGAUUUGAAAGAAAUGUUACGAUUUCAGCAUUAAAUAAUGCAUGUCGAUUAACAAUAUUGCUCAGAUUCUUUAGGCAAAGGUCCACAGACAAAAAAAUUAUUUAUUUAUUUUCUGAACCACCCCUGAAAUUGACACCUCCCAUACAGUCUGAUCUGCAUUUCUGUGGCACUAUUUCCCUUAUUCCUAACCAUAAAUCUGCUGCCAUCUCAAUAAUUCACAUCCUUAUCCACUCCUUAUCUAGGGUUGUAACACUUUUUUCAAAAAGAUUUUUUUUUUUUUUUUUCGAAGGGGUGGAUAAGGGUCCUGAGACAAGCUGUGGUAUAAUUAUAAACCCACUUGGGUAAUGGUUUCAUUGUCAGGGUAAUUCUAUUUAAGGUGAAAAUCAGCUGGGUCUAUCAUUCUUGUUUCCAUGUGACUGUUUCCAAGGAGAACUCAACCCUCAAAUCCAUCGAGCAGUCAUAUAAAAAUACACGCAGAUUUCAUAUCUUGAAGCUUGUCCUGUGUUCAGAUCGGAUAACUCACUCAUAUGCCUAAUCACUAAUCGCCAACUUGAGUGUAAAAAAAGCGUGGGGCGAUAUUAUUUGUAUAUGGGUUUGACUGUUUGAGAGAGAAAGGUGGGGUGUCCCUUGGAGGAGUCCAAAGGCCAUUUUUGAACCUGCCUUUGAUUAUCGCCAUGGCAAAUCAACAGCUUGUAGUAUAUAUAUAUUAAUGGAGACCAAGACUCAAAUAGAGAGAGAGACGCGGGGAUGCGAUAAAGAGAACAGUAUAGCCAAGAGUAUAUAAGCAUUUCUCUUGCUGUAAUGGUGAUUCAGAGACUGGAAAUGUGUAUAUCACUGCUGAAAAUGGCAGUAGAGUUUGUGCUUGUUUUCGCGGAGGCAGUCGGGCUAGUCAUCAACCACAAUGCCACGCCGCUUUUGGCAAACUCAGCCUCAGUUGGCAAUGAUGUUUCUGUCCCUUUUAUCGGUUUUCUUCUUUGAAUUCUUCGUCUUGUAGUUUCCUUCCUUACCAGAAUGCUCAUUGGCCAUUGUAUAUGUUGAGGGUUCUUUUUUGCCUUGAUAGAUUUUCUAAAGGAUGUGCAUGUUUGAUAGGAGAGAGUAUAUAUACACAUCUAUGUAAACUUUGAUUAAAUUUUGUUCUGGGUGAGCUUCAUUUUCUGCAAAUUCAUUUGCUGAUAGCUUUGGAAACGAAUCUUCAGUUGUUUGGGUGCUGAUUAUUUGCUUGCUUCACACGAUUUUAUGUGCUGUUCCUUUGGUAAUAAUCUUGUUGGGUGGAUCAAGGAGAAGAGCGAAGAUCUGAGGGAAAAUAGAGUCUGGAGAAAGAAAAGAUGUAAUGAUGAUUAAGAAAGGCUUUAAUAUACUUGCAAGAUCAGGAAAAAAUAUUUCUUGGGUAUCAAUUAUUUUCUUGCUUGAUAUGGGUUUGAUACUCUUUUUCAAUUGGUGAUCAUUCUGGGAAGAUCAAGAAGAAGAAAAUGGGGUCUAGAUGAAGAAAAGCUAUAAUGGCGAUUAUUAAGUGGAAUCAGAUGAAAUAAAAGUCUGUUUCCAUCAUUCUUAAUAUGGUUUCUUUUGUCAAAAAUGGAAGAUGACUUGAUUUUCAUAGUCCCAGCAGGACUUUAGUACUCAUCAAACUCAUAAAUUUUGAACAACUUUGAGCUAACCUUCUGCAUUAAUUUGGUGCAUCUGCGCAGUUGCAGAGUAUGAACACCCACAAAAUCUUAAUAUGAAUCUUUUGGGGCAAUAGCUUCUAUAUAUGAUGGAUGAUAAGAACAAAGCAAAUCUUGGGUUCUCCAUGGGCACGAUCAUUUAUCCGCCAUAUAAAAUGCAGAUUUUCCUAACACCAACCCCUUAUUUUAAUAAAGUCAAGUUAUUUUAAGGCCCCCAAUAUUAGACAUGCCUUAGAAUCAUUGGGUCUGUGAUUAAAAAUGUAGUAAUAUCAUUUAAAAUACCUAACACUGAAAUUUUGAUAAUUUUGAAUGCCAUAGUGUGGAUUUGAAGAAAGAAAUCGCAUCCAAGAUCUCUUCCUUUUCCUGGGAAACAUUAGUCUUGGUCAAUUAUGAACUGUUACACGUUGCCUAUCAUGGUCAUAUUUAUAUUAGCUUUGAUUUCUAUGGGGGAUAUAAUUUAUUUGUAUGCUAAUCAUAGAGGUGAUACAUGUGAUCCACAUGUCAUAUUUGGACUUGGAAGCAAUCAUUGGAUUCCUUUGAUGAACUGGCAAUGGAAGAAUACUAAUUGCUCCGGUCCCUUUCUUUUUUCAAAGUAGGAUGAUCAGGUCCUUUGAUCCCUUCGACUCCCUCUGGCUGUUUUUCUUUGUUCUUUUUUCAAUCAUCCAUAGCUUAAAAUUAAAGCCUUGAUGCCCUCCUCGACUUUCCCAAGAUAAAACACCUUAUCUUCACUUUAUUUCUCUUCCCUUUAAAUUUGAUUUUAGAUCUGAAAUCCAGGGCUUAUGACCCUGUAGAAGAAAGACAGAUAUGAAGCUUGGGAUGAUUUGAACUUCAGUUUGAUUUUCUGCACACUCUGUUAAAACUCCUGAAAUAUAGUUGUAUAUUGCAAUACAUUUAAUUGUUUGAUACAUCUGAACUAUGAUGUUCUAUUAGUAAAAAUUUCUUUGAAUCAAUCCACGGCUCAAAGUACCAAUUUCUAUUGAAACUUUUUUUCUUUUCCUGCUCAUUCAAUUGUUUCAUUUUCCACAUAAUGGUAUGACAACAUCAAGAAUACUUCUCAGCAAUUGCCUGCAGGUGAACCCAAAGCUCUUUUGGCUUAGAGAUCAUGACCAUGUGAUCAGAUCCUUUAAUCUCUUUAACAGCAUCAGGUGGGUUUUUUUCAAUCAUCCAGAGUUGAAAAUCCCUUUUCCCCAGCUUGUCUUCCUCUGAAAUAAUAAAGACACGUUUAACCGAGGCAUAUUUCUUCGACAACAUGAGCUCAUUUGACAUGUCUUCUUCAAUGAACAAGCGUACGGGUCUCAUCAACACAGUCCCUAGUGCCAAGUCCUGGAAUAUUUGUGCCCGAAAUGAUAUGACAACAACAAUGAAGGUCUCAUGAUUUUGGUUGUAAGGCCUUAAUAAAUGGAGUUCUCACCUCAGUUGGGCUCAACUGAUACACAUUCAGUGAUAAGAACAAGGGGCCAAAGCUGAAAGUGGUGGGAGGAUUGUUGGGGCCAUUAUCAUAUGUGAACUGGCUGUCUAGUAGAGGACCUUGUCUCCUGAGUGACUUCAAUAAGAAGUAGAAACCAGGCUAAAAGUCAGAAACAGGGGAAGCCUUCCCCUCUUAAUCAGCAAGUAAAUUUCUGUAAAAGAAAAAUAGUAUGUAUGAAGUACCUCUUGAUUGAGAGUGGAAAUGUUGAGAGUGGGACCAGGCAUUGAGGCAGUAACAAAAACAGCUACAGAAACCUUUUCUGGGAACUUCUCCAUGGCCUGAGAAAUGGCCAAUCCACCCAAGCUGUGUCCAACGAGAACCACCCUCUCAUCUGCAGGGAGUGACUCCACGAAGUCCCUCAGUGGCUGGAAAUACCAAGAAAUUGAUCGCAGAUCACCCACUUGUUUUGGGUUAAUUCCAGAAGCAGCCAAGUCCAGAGCAGUAACUUUGUGGCCAGAUGAUUUUAGUAGUGCCACAAUCUUGUACCAAGACCAGGCACCAUGGCAAGACCCAUGAACUAGAACAAAGUGCUUGACGGGAUUAGCCUGUCUCCCCUCUGAUGCCAUUGGAUACACUGAAGAAACAAGAAAAAUCAGAAAGGAAACAAAAAUCAUAUGCUUCUUCCUUGCUUCCAUACUCCUUUCCUGUUACAGAGAUGGUCAGCACCCCAGCAUUUUAAAGGGCACAAUUGGGUAGGUUUUCACUACAACUACUAAUCUAAUUGAUUAAAAAUUUUCCCGUGAAAUUGACUCUAGAAAUAAAAUAAGGACUAAGGAUUCAAGAACACGUACACUUUGACUGCCAGAGUUUAUGUCUUUUCAUAGAUGACACAUGCACCUGCGUCACACUCUUUUUCAAUGAUAAAGAAGUUAUGCAAAGGAAGAAAGAAUGAAAUAUACAGAGUCAAGUAGUUAACUCCUCCCCUUGAAUUCUUCUCUUGCCCGGAUUGGUUUGUAACUGCAAACAUUUUCUUUUCCCAAUGUGAUCUGUGGAUUGAGUUCUGAUCUCAAUUUGUUUUUGGCAUUUUUGGUUUUGCUUCUGCAAAUCUUGAGAUGUAUCUUUCAAUUAAUAUAAGUUGUGCAGUUAAGGUUUUUGGACAUAUAAAAUGUUAGCCAAACCUUUCCCGUGGCAGGUUGAAGGUACUUUGGGGUAGGCUUGGUCAUGCUUGAUACCUCAGUCUGACUCAAACAUGAUGUUUUCACCCAUUUGAAUUGAUCAAAGUUGUGUUGACUGGCAUGAUUCCUUUAAUAAAGAAGUUGUUUUAGGAUUAAGGCGUACAACACAAAUUUGACUUAAGUAGAUCUAUUUAAUUAUUGUGUAUUAACAUAAUUAUAAUCAAUUGAGUCGAAAAUGAAUUAAAUUAAAAAGUUAAUUUUAUUGAUUUAAAUAAGACCUAAUUCAACCUGAUUAUUAAAUUACUCAACUUAUUAUAUGAUUUGAACACUGCCCACCAACAUUAAUUGUAACCCGUGCUUUGAGUUCAGGUGGCAGCAAGAGUUUGGCCUUUGUUUUGAGUGUUGGAUGAAUGUUGGAUUAACCUUUCCCAUGGCUGUCAAAUUCCUCAUAAAUUAUUGGUGAUUGUAAUAAUUUCCUCAAAAAGUAAUGGUGCUAUAUGCUUCUUUAGGAUCCAUUGAUCUUAAUAAUUCUCUUCCUGGUAUAGGAAGAAAGUGACUAUUCCAUUACUGCAGCUUUCAUUGCUGCUUAUUUAUCAAGCAAAUUACAUUAUUAUUUUCACACCAAAUCUCCAAAUUCACCAUGUACUUAUCCUAUAUACUGCAUGGUGAACUUCAGAGAGCUAAAACAAGCUCUUAUUGAAUACAUGAUAGAUGAUGUCCCACUGACCCUUUUACUCUGAUACCUUGAAAUGAGAAAUUUGGAGGUUUUCCACAUCAAGCUUCUUGAAAUUACUGCGCCUUCUCGCAGCAAAGAACUUUCCCCAGUUGUAUGCUCUGUACUUUGGCUUUUCUCCCUUCGUCAGCUCCUCCAAGGGCUUCACCCAAACAUGGUGCCCGGGACUGAAAAAGACCGGAAUUGAGAACCUUUCCCUCUCUGAAUUCACCGUCACCCUGUGCUCGACACUUUCAUAAGUAUCGUUGCUCCAGACCUGGUUUAAUAUCAGUAUAAUUAGCCAAAAGGGUGCAAAAUUUCUUGAUCCCAACAGUACUGAUAAGCAUGUACUUAUAAUUCAAAGUUCUUGGGUGGUACCUGAAUUAUAUCCCCAACAUUGAUGAUAAAAGCAUCUGGGGUGGGCUUAACUCGAACCCAUUCUCCAUUGGUUUUUCGCUUUACUUCCAACCCUCCAACAUCAUCCUGGGCAAGGAUGGUUAAGGCUCUGGAAUCCUUGUGGCGACCAACGCCCAAAGCUAGGUGAGGGAUGGGGCAAGGUGGGUAGUGAUUGAGGCGGAUGAAGUUUGUUGAUUCUUCAAAGAGAAUAUUGAAUCUGUUUUCUGGCA
This 69111-nucleotide long non-coding RNA is filed under the name Vitis vinifera (wine grape). Its description in RNAcentral is "long non-coding RNA (VVIN_LNC000686)". Lineage: Eukaryota; Viridiplantae; Streptophyta; Magnoliopsida; Vitales; Vitaceae. The record is from RNAcentral.